AAGAGAAUAUGCAUAUACAUAUACAUACCGUAUCGGUUCCAGCAGGGCCUGGUGAAGAAGCGCCGAGGCUGGGAGUAGGGGCCUCAGUUGAUGGAGACGGUGGGCUGGAGGCCGAAGGUGAUAGCGCUGGAGACUUAGCUUUGGUCUUGCUAGGGGCCGGAGCUGGAACCGUGGCAGGAGGAGAAGCCAAAGGAGCUGGUGGUGGGGUAGCUGGAGGAGGAGUAGCAGGAGGGGGAGAAGCAGGUGGUGGGGUAGCCUGAGGUGGAGAAGCCGGUGGGGGAGUUGCGGGAGGUGGGGUAGCUGGGGGAGGAGUAGCCGGUGGAGGAGAAGCUGGUGGUGGGGAGCUAACGGGCGGGGGAGUCGCUGGAGGAGGAGUGGAAACUGGUGGUGGAGAAGCUGUCACUGGAGGUGGUGAUGAUGUAGGAGGAGGAGUGGAAGCUGGUGGCGGAGAAGUAGUUGUGGGUGUUGGAGGUGGUUGGGUAGUAGGCGGAGGUGUGGAAGCGGGUGGGGUCGGCGGCACCGGCGUGGAUGUCGGAGGAUUACUAGGAGUAGGAGGAGCUUGGCCUAAAGCGCCAGCUACAGCAAUGCAAAACAAAGCUGAUAAGAACAAAAACUUGUUAUUAAGCAUCAUGUUGGAAACAAUGGUGACCCUUUAAUCCUGCACACCCUCUCCGCUUAAACUACGCCCAGCCGCGCAAGCAAAAGAGGGAGAAGAAUAGCAAGUAUGAGAAAUGAAAAGAUGGUGAUAUUUAUAUAGAGGAUAUGGAAAUUUCUAUAUCAUAUUUCAAUUUUAAAUCCCAAAAACAAAUAAUUUAAUAACAUUUUUAUUUUAUUACUAAUGGGAAAAUUAUAUUACUAAUCCUAUGCAAUUUUCUAUUUUAAUUUAGUGUAAUUUAACUCUUUCGUUGUGUUAUUAAUAGGUUCAAAAUUGAUAUUCGAUCGUACAAGCAGAGAUGUAGAAAUGAAUCAAUUUUGUUAAAUAAGCAAUAAAUCUCAAUCUUAGUCAAAUGCUUAAAGCUGUUAUAAAAAAAAAUCACGUCACCAUUUUAACAUUAAUAAGUAUCAAAUUAUAUAGAAGUAAAGGAUUAAAUCUCUAAUUUCAAUUUAGUAAAGGGACUAAACUGGAAUUAAAGGGUUAGAGUUUUUUCCUCGUUUGGUGAGGUAAAAUAAAAACCCUAGUGGGGCAUCACUUUGAUGAUUAUAAAUGAUGCGUUAGUUAGUCAUACUUUAGGUAAAAAACUGUAGGUGAGAUUAGUGUAGAUUGAAAUAUUUUAGUGAAAGGUUAAUUUAUACCUUAAAAAUUUUGCAAUAUUUGGUAGUUCCAUGAAAUGAUUCCCACUAUCAUCAACUUUUCAAUCAUUCAAAUAGGUUUUAAUUUGUUUUGUUGUGAAAUUUUUAAGGAGUCAGGUCCGGUUGUUAUAAAAUUUUAGGUUUGAAUUUGACUUGAAAAAUAGGUUUAAAAUUUUACUUAAACCCAGUCUAGAUAAAAAUAUUAAACUCAAGUCUGGACGUAUUAAACUUUUUAUAUUAUUAUUUAUAUAAAAACAAAUUUAAAAAAUAUAAUACAUCAAAUACACUAAAAAUAUUAAAAUAGAUGUUUCCCAACAAAUUGAAAAUACAUUAAAAAAGUUUUUAUACUUAGCAAGCAAAUGCCUCUAAAAUAGUAGCAAAAUUAACAAUAAAAGAGUUAUAUAAUAUCCAAACAAUAACAGCAAAAUAGUAGUAAUAUAAUAGCAAAAUGGCAACAAAAUAACAGUAGAAAAAAAAAUUUAGGCAAAUUCGGGCUGAGCUGUGUCAAGCCCAGGUAAAAAAAGAUCUUACCCGAGGUCGGCCCUUUUAGAAAAUGAGCCUUAUUUUAUUGUCGAAACUCAUUUUCUAGACCUAUAUUUUUCCCAAAUCCUCCCACUUAUGGGGCGAUAUUUAGGGCUUGGGCAGGUGGCUCGGCGCAUGAUUAGGUCUAACGAUGGAUUCUUUUGUUAGUAAUGUUUAUUUUGGUGUUUGAGUUUUUUGUGUCUUAAUUUGGUACCUAAUUUUGGCUUUAAUUUUUUUUCCAAUUAAGCACUUAAGUUUGGCUUCAAUGUUCAAAUUGGUACCUAAUUUUUUUUUGUCCAAAUUAAUUACCUAUAUUUUGUUUACCAAAGCACGUGUGUCAAACAUUCAUUGGGUCAUAUGAUGACAUUUGGCUUAGGUAUCAAAUGAAUAUCAAAUCCGAACUUGAGUACCAAAUUGAAACAAAAAACACAAAUACCAACUAAGUAUUGAAGCUAAUCUCAAAUAUGGAAUGGUAUGUUAGCCCAUUUGUAAACAAAAUUUCAAGGAAGACUUAAAAUUUAGCAUCUACUAAGCUUUCAGUUUCCCUUUUGUAUGUUACAAUUGAUGUUUGUUUAACGCAUAAACUUGGUAUCUUUUUUCCCGUAAUGAUAUUUAAGCUUUUUUUUAUACUUGAUAUCCAAACUUUCAUUCUGUCACACCAUUUUGAGCAAUUUUUGUACAACUAUAUUAAAAUCUGUAGUUUGGUUAUCUUCAACAUUAAGGAUUUCUACGACAUACUUUUUGCGCAUUCCUCCCAUGACAUUAAGAAGUAGGGAGGCGAAAGUGGUGGUGCUAAAAGGAUCAGUUUAUCUAAUUAAGUGGAGAGUUGAAAAGGGAAAUAAAUUAGGAAGGAGUAGGGGACUCACACAUCCAUAACAUAUGCAUAUGUUAAGAUUAAAAAUUUACACAACCCAAUUGCAAAUGGUGAGACUUGGACUUGGAUACUCAAGGAUCCAAGAUCUCGCCUUAACCAACAAUGUUAAGAUCUCAUUGACUCUUUUGGAGUUUUUUCAAAUUCAGGAUUAAAAAUUAUGAUAUAACUCAAUAUAAUAUUAAAGAGUAAAAAUUAAUCAAAAUUUACAUAUAUCACUCAUUUAAUCAUGUGUACAGAUAAAAGGAAACCACUCGUCCUCUUGCCAACCCUACGUGUAACAUAAUUCACUAUAAAUUCCAUUUACCAACAUAUACAUACAUACAUAAAUAUAAAAGAGAACUUCAUUGGUCUUGGACUGGAUUGGCUACAAACUUUGACAAAAGGCAUGUGUAGGAGGAUUAAAUUCGAUGAAUUGCAUGAUAGUUUCUCCUUUUUGAUAAUUUAGUACAUGAGAGAAUAAUGAUGAUUGUGGGGGGGGGGUGCUCCAUCGAAAUAGCUGGAAUUUAUUUAUUUUAGUGAACUGGCAAAUGUAAUUUGUACGCCAAGUUAUAAGGUGAAAAAGGGAGAAAUCAUAUAGAUUUGGUUGGUAAUGGUAUGUUGAUGUUGAAGCACCUGCGGUGCAACGCCACAAUUAGUAGGCCCCUACCCCCGCUGUCACCCCAUCAUAUGUGCUUUUGGAUGGAUCCAACAUUUUCGUGUUCUUUCCUUCUUCAACAUCAUCAUUAUUAAUUAGUUACUCUUCAAUUUCUAUAUGUAAUUUGCUUUCUUUUCAUUCAUAGGUUUUCUGUUUUUCUUUCUUUGAUUUUGUCUUGUGCACAACUGACGUCCUCCAUUAUUUUUCCCCUGACGUCCUCCAUUAUUUUUCCCCUUUUGUAUAAUUGGGUUUGUGACUUCAAUAGUCUCCGUUUGUAUGGAAAUUAUUUUAUGGAUUUUUUCAUCAUAUCAUUUACGAUAUAUUUUUAGUUAUUUAAUGAUAUUUUAGUAAUUUUUUAUACCAUUGAUACAUAAAUUUGUUAAUUUUUUUACCCAGAACCUUUAAUCUCGAACUUAGAACCCCGAACUCCGAAUCUUGAACCUUGAACCCCAAACUUAAACCUUGAAUCUUGAAACCCUCAAGGUUCAGGUUUGAGGUUCGAGUUCGGGUUCAAAGUUUGUAGUUCAGGGUUUGAGGUUUGAAAUUUAAGGUCUGGGUUUAGGGUCAAGGUUCAAGGUUCAGGAUUUUGGGUUUGAGGUUCGAGAUAAAAAAAAUUAUCAAAAUUAUAUGUCAAUGAAAUGAAAAAAAUUACUGAAAUGUCAUUAAAUAAUAGGAAAGAGACCAUGGAUGAUGUGGUGGGAAUGGUCCAAAAAUAAUUUCUCAUUUGUAUGGGGUAUUGUUCCUUAUCUAUUAUAAUUUGGUAUCUCUAUUUUUAUAAUAUUAUUAGUAAAUCCAAAUUUAUAACGAUGUUGAUUGCUUCAAUAAAAUGAUAAGGUGGAUUUUUAUAGGAAGAAAGUUAUUUGAGUUUAUUCGAAGUUAUAAUUUAUAAUUGUAUUACCAAUUAUUAAAAAUAAAUAACUUAACUCAAACUAAGUCAUCAGAAUAAAUUUGAUUGUGGGAUUUGAAUUUGAGCGCUCCUUAGGCUUCAUUAGCUUAUUUGGGCUCUAUUUACUAAAAGAAAAUUAUCAACAAAAAAAUUCAUGACGAGCCAUUAAUAAUUUUAUUAAUUUGAACUAAUCAAGUCGCUGAUCGAUUUAUCGAGAUAACUUUAGAGAAGAGUUUAGUUAUAUAAGUGUAUGAAAGACAUCCUGAAAGAAUUAGCAGUUGUUAUUGAGAUUGAUAAAGGAGUAAUUUAUUCCAUUAUGAUAGAUUGAUAUAAUUUAAUUGUGUUUUUUUAUUUAUUUAUUUUAAAAAGAGUAGAAGGACGUAGUAAAGGAAUUUUCAUGCAUCAAUAAUUUAUAAUUUAAACUAUGAAAUUUCAAAAAAGAAGAAAUUCAUGUUGAAAUUGAUACUAUCAAGCAAUUUAGAAGUGUAAAAUUUUCAAUAUCAGCUGGAUAUUUAAUGUCAAAUAAACUAAAGAAAUGAGAAAGACAAGCCAAUUGUCCACAAUGAUUAACUUGUUCCUAAAAAGAAAGUUGUACAUUGACUUUGCUUAUAAAUCAAUCCAAUUUUUUUUAUAUAAAAGGAAACAAUUACAUACUUAUAUUGAGUUAUUUGUACCACAACCCAUUUAAUUAUUAUUUUAAUUAUCGAUUGAGUCUUAGUUCAGUUGGUAUUGACAUUAUUAUCGGUGUAGGAGGAAUGGGUUCAAGUGUGCUGAAACGCAUUAUCCUCCUAUUUAAAUGUUGGGAAGGGACUAUAUGAUCGAGAGUAGAUGUGAUAAGAACCUAUAAUAAGAUUAAUGUAAUGCCCCCUCGUUCCUUUAAAUGCUACUUGAAACAUACUUAAUUAUUAUUUACUAAAAUAUUGACAAAUCUGUAAUUUGAAUCUAGAUUCUUAUCAUAUCGGCUCUUUUUGGUACAAUGCUUACAACUAUCCAUAGCCCCUCCCCAAUCAUUAAAUAGGAGGAUAAUACACUUCAACGCAUUCGAAUCCACAUCCUCUUGUACUGACAACAAUGUUAAUCAAUACAAUUCUAAAUACGAGUGUACUACUUAGAUAAUCAUAUCCAAGGUACACAUAGUUUUAAAAUUUGAUCCACACAUUUAAAUAGACCCCACCUCUGAUCUUAUCUAGGAUUUAUCACCGAAGCUGACGGUUAGACAAACAAAACAACUUGAUUGAUAUAAUAUUGAUAUUUUACAGACUCAAUCGUAAUGUUUUAUAGUUCGAGAUGAACGUAGAAUCGUGGCCAUAAUUAUGGAGGUUUGGCUGAAUUGACUCUAUUUCUAAAUAUAUCAUGGUAGACAUUCAAUAUUAAAAAAAAGAUAAAGGGAUAAUAUAAUAACCCAAAACACCAAAUUUUGGUUGGUUUAAUUUGCAGCUUUAACCAAUGCUUUUGCUUGAUCCAUCAAUUAGUGAGGAUUUCGAUCUAAAUUAGAGGGUCCCAUUCGGUUAUUAAGCUCUUUUUCCCCCCUCGUGAUUGCCAUAACAUGGGCCCUUACCCUUUUAACUUUGCUUUGGUUUGGUUUGAUUUAAGGUUUAUUCAUAAAUUGUCCCUUAAACUAUACCUCAAUUUUUAGAUUGGUCCUUAAAGUUUUUUCUAUCAAGAGUGGUCCCCACACUAUCAAAUCUAUCUCAUUUUACCCAAAAAGCUUACGACAUCCAAUAAAAAUAUUUAAAAUGUGACACGUGUUACAUUCUUAUUGGUUAAUAUCAUUUUUUGGGUAAACUAAAAUAAAAUGAACAGUUUAAUGAUCACUUUUGAUCAAAUAAAAAAGUUUUAAGGACUACUCUAGGAAUUGAGAUAUAACUUAGGGGUUAUUUUGUUAAUAAAGCUUUGAUUUAAUUCAAUAGAGAAAUCAUUAACACUGAAAGAGUUUUCUUUAAUUUACUCAAAUGGUCUUUUUGUUUGUGUCACCUAACAUUUUGAAGAACAUCCUUUCUCUGUGUACCUCAUACAAUUCGUUAAUACGAAAAUUUUAUGAUUUUUUUAAAAUAAAUUUAAUUGUCACUUUGCAUGUUACAAAUACUUUUAAAUAAGGACUUUUUUCAUAUGAGAAUACCUUUAAUACCAAUUAAAAAACAUCUUAAACUUAAUUUAUCUAAUUUCUUGGGCAGGGACCUAGCCCAAAAUUGGUAAAAUUAAAAUUAGAUCUUUCUAAUUUUGAAGCACUAAAAUUGGAUUUCUUUUAAAUUGUAAAAUUAUAAAUUUAACCCUUAAAAAAAUUAUAAUUCAACUUUAGCCUCUAAUUUUUUUUCUCUAACUUACAUCUCCGCCUAAUUCAAUAUAUUUUAAAAAAAAAUUGACUACAAACAUCUAGACAUUACCAACAAAAAUAUAUUUAUAAUUAGUAUUUAAUAUAAAAUAUUUUAAUUCUAUAAGCAAUUUUCAAAAUUUUCAUAUAUCUCGAUUUUUCUAUAUAUAUUUUUUUAUUUUUAUUAAAUCAUGAAUGAAAUAUAUAUUAUCUUUCGGAUUCUACUUAUAAAAUCUAAUAACUACACUAAUAACGUAUUAAAUCAUUUUAUGUAUAUAUAUAUAUAAGUUCAAGUGGUCCAUAGGUAGCUUAGAGUACAAGGGAUUAAGUUGAGGGCCCUUAUCAUUUUCUCCAAAUGUGAAGUGAUGUUAACUGCUUAGCUUCCUCCUCUUGCCCCAUUCAUUUUCCUUCCUUUCCACAAUAUAUAUUGUAUAAAUAUUUAUGGGUAAUCGAUUGAGUCUUAACUCGAUUAGUAUGAGUAUUGUUGUCAAUACAGGAAGGCGUGUAUUCGGCACAUUAUCCUCCUAUUUAAGGGUUGGGAGGCUAGGAGUAGUUGUAGAUAUUAUAUUUAAAAAAAACAGAUAUGAUUAAAACCUAUAAUGAGAUUAUUAAAAAAAAUAUUUAUGGGUAAUCAGUUUAUACAAUUUCAAUUAGGCGUAUAAAUCCAAUCAUUAAUCAUUAAAAUGUUUUACUUUAUGCCAUAAUAUUGUUUUAACUGCAGAAGCAUGUGGGUUAAUGAAAACUACUUAUAGUAUCUCAAUUAAAUGUAAUCAACAACCUCAACUCAUAUCUUCCUUCUCUCUCUCACUCUCAAUUAUAUAACCUACUAAUAAUUAACUUUAAUAACCCACUUUCAAGUACAUCUCAGGCUACCUGCCAUACCAAGCCUAAAGCUCCUAAGAUUUUCUAAAAGGUUUGCACAAAAAUACAAAGAUUUAUAGGAUAAUGGAUUUGGGCAAAAAAUUAAGCUUAAUUAUUUAAAUUAUAGGUUGAAUUUAUCGAUAAGUCAUGUUAAACGUAAUGGUAAGAUACAUUUGUACUCUUAAGAAAAGAAUGUAGAUUCAAAUAUUAAAAACGAUAUUGUUAAAAAAAACAAUCACAAAUCUCAAACAUGAGUCAUAAAACAGACAUGUAAAAUACAUUUGGACUCAUUUAAGAUUAUUAAAACAUGGAUAAUUUAACUCAAUAUUGCAAUUUAGUGUUACAAUAUGAUUUCGUGAUAAAAUCAAUAAUGUUGAUUUGUAUUAUUGUAUUAAGUAGUGCAUGAAAUGUAGGAUUAGAUAAAUUUGUAUAAAGUGCAUGCUAAAAACUGUUUUGAAGGCUUUAUAGAAUUCUUUUCGCUUAAAAGAUAAGAGUCUACCUGAUCAGCUAAGGUUUACAAUAUUGCUUAUAGGUUUAGCUUUCAAUCGAAUUGAGUGAAAAUUUUUUGAGUUAAUCGAGUUAACGAGUCCUAUUUUAUCAUUCUAACACAAUUUGAAAUUUUCUCGAAGUCGAGUAAAAUGAAAUUCAAGUUAAGUCGAAUCGAGUGAAAUUGUUCGAGUUAAAUUAAAAAAUUAAACAUGUCAAAUUAAAAUCUUAUUACAGUAUAAUUAAUUUCAUGUUAGAGCACAUAAUAUUGAAACCAUAUAUAUUUGAAAACUUUUUCAAAGCAAGAUAAGGAAAAAAAAUACUUUAGUAUAAUAAACUUGAAUCAUUAAUUAACUUAUUUAAGUCCCCAAAAUUAUUAUUUUAGAACAUUUUUAAAUUUUUAACUUUCUUUAUAUAUUCUUUAUAAUUUUUUUUAAAAAUAUAAUUUUUGGAAUUUUUAUAAAUAUUUUGAAUUUUGAAAUUUAUUUUGAUUUUUUUGUAUUUUUUGUUGAAAAAGACCAAUUUGCUCAUUUUCAAAAUUGACAGGGAUCAAAAGGGUAUUUAUAUCAAUCUAUUACUCGAAUUAUUCGAGUUAUUCGAAUUGUAAAAUUCUACUCGACUUGAACUCAAAACUCGAAUUACUUAUUAAAUUUUACUCGAAAAAAUCAAAUAACUCGAUUCAAUUAACUCAUAAUUCAAUUUUUAUUUUAUUUUUUCAAAUCGAGUUUUGUUCACCCCUAAUAACUUAUUAGCAAGAAUUGUUCAAUUUUAAAAUACAAGCUAAUAAGAUUAUUUUAUCUUGAUAUUAAAUGCUAUUUAUACAACUUAUAAAAGAUGGUCGAUACACACAGAUGGGGUAGACUUUUUGAGUGUUUCAUUUUUUUGGUUCAUGGAACAUUUUGCAAGGUAUAUACACCUUGAUACCUUUGGUAUUAUUUGGAGAGUUUUAUUCAUUUGUAUGCAAAUAUGUUUGCGGUAUGUGAUAAUAUUUUGGGAGAGUGAGUGUAAAGAAUUGCAUACUAGUGAAACUACUUUUAUCUACAUUUUGCAAGAUGGAUACACCAUGAUUAGAGGUGUACAUGAGUCAGGUCGGGUCCAAUCAAAAUUUUAGACCCAUUUGUUAGGCUUGGGUCCAGAUAAAAAUAUUAAAAUUUAGGCUCGGUCCGGCCCGCCUGUAUUAAUUUUUUAUACAAAUUUAAAAAAUAUACAAUACAUCAAAAAUAUUAAAAAUAUUAAAAUAAAUGUUUCUCAACAAAUUGAAAAUAAAUUUUUAAAAAAUAUAUACUUAAAUAAAACUAAGAUAGGUGAAACUUAACAAGCAAAUGCCUCUAAAAUAGUAACAAAAUUAAUAAUAAAACAAUAGUUAUACAAUAUCCAAAUAAUAACAACAAAAUAGUAGCAAUAUAAUUGUGAAAUUGUAGCAAAAUAGUGAAAAACAACAAAAAAAAUAGCAACAAAAUAAUAAUAAAAAAACAGAAAAAAAACUGCAAUUUUUUUUUAUUUUGUAUAUUCGGGUCGGGUUGAGCCGGGCUCAAACCCAAAAAUCCUUACUCGAGGCUCAGCCCGUUUUAAAAUAAAUAUUGUUUAAUUAAUUAAUUAAAAAAUCAAUAGUGUUUAAAAAAUAUCACAAUGAAAUAUUAAAUUUUAUAAGAUUUCAUAAUUCUAAAAAAAUAAAAUAUGAAAAUGUUUAAAAAUUUUAUUAAUUUUUUUAAAAAAAUUAUACAAAAUUUUAAAAAAAUAAACAAAUACUACUAAAAGGUUUUAAAUCAAAAUUAAAUAUAAUGUAAUUAGAAAUUUAUUUUUAAAAUAUUUAUUUUAUUUUUUUAUAAAUACUAUUAAAUGUUUUUAACGGUAACAUAUUUUAAAAAGUAUAAUAAUUUUACAUAAAAAAAUUAUGUUUACUAAUUACAUUUUUUUUAUUUUUUUCCUAACAUAUCAUUAUCUGCAACUUGUCAUAUUAAAGAAUUGAAGAUUUAUUUGAGUAGUUAACUUUUUUACAAAAAGAACUAAUUAAUUUAUUAUUUUUAUAAAUUGUUACACCCCAUACCCGGUCUAGAUGUUAUGGCCGGAUCUUGAGGAAUUACAGAAGUUCAUUUUAAAACUAGAUUUUUAAUUUGAAAUCGUAUAAUAGAAUAAUGUUAACUUUGUAAAAUCGCUUUCUGAUUUUAAGGGAAAUACUCAUUUAAACUAUUUCUUUUAUUGCAGAAAAACACUUCAGUGAUCACUUCAUUUUGCAGCGGAAAUUUUCUAAGUUAUAAAAUAUUGAAAACUGUGGCUUGGUUUGUAAAACAAAUAAUUUUGCAGUUUAAAAAUAUAACAGUUGCAAAAUCCGUUAAAGCAAAUCAAAACAGAAAAUAAAGUCCCAGAAUAAUUUACAGUCCAAAAAAUUCAUAAUAAUUACAUUAACCAUUUUAAUUUAGAGAAUCUAACCCAAGCUCCCACACGUCGUCCAAUAUUAGGUUUCCUAAUCACCUGAGAUGAUAAAAGUAAAGGGUGAGCUAACAAGUUUCAUGUGUAACUCAAUCCAUACAAACAACACAGAUACAGUAACCGAUACGAAUAUAGAUGCAACUACAGAUACUAAUACUGGUUCUAUUUCCAUUCGCUACACACCAUCUUCAUCCAUCCCUACACACGAUUAGGGUAUUAAAUAUCCAUCCAACCCACACACCUAUAAGUGAGCAUAUGUCAUUUUUCAAAAUAGUGCAAUCAAGCUACCAGAAAUAAUGCGGUAAUCCACCAGAAUUAGAUAAGUGUGGUAAAGCCACCAGAAUAGAUAUGUGGUUUAAACUACCAAAUAAGGCAAAUCAUUAAAUUGUCAACACUUCCUCCAUCAUAUCAUUAUCCCACCCCAAUGCACAUGCAAACACUAAUUAGAUAAUAGAUACAUAUAAAUUGCACUAACAAAAGUAAAAUAUUAGAUUUCAUAUCUAUAAGUCAUACAUAACACAUUACGGAACCUAAGAAAUGGCAAACCUCGAAUCGUACUUCAAAUACGGCCCUAACUAAAUUUUACAAAAAAUGGGCUCACACGCCUGUGUGGCCCACAUGAUCUGGCACACGGCCUCACACAUGCUCAUGUGGCCCACGGCCCACUUAACUUAGCCCGUGUGGCUUAUACAGUUUGGCACACGGUAGUGUGGCGUCGACAGUGAAUUUUUUGGCUUCGAGAUUAUCGUUACACACCUAGUCGUUUUUCGAUACUAACACCACUACAAGGAUUCUAGAACCUAAAACAACAUUUAACACGAACAAUUUAGAAACUAUACACUAAAUAUAAGCCACUAAUUCAGCCACAACCACUAACAUUAGGCUUUAACAAGCCAAAAAUUAGUCUUUCGGACAUUUGGUUACUUACCCAGAACAAUAGCGACAGUCCUAAAAAUCUCCUAAUUCACUGAAAAGACGUCACACGCCUCACAAACUUCUCCUAUUGAAACAUAACAUGUCAUACGGAAACGAAUUAACCUUACUACUGAAGAACACACUUACGAGACUUGCACUUGAACAAAAAUACGAAUUCCUUGCUCGAACAUAGCACCACGAUGAUUACACGUCAGAAAAUCAAUACCAAAAUGAUUUAAACACAGGACCUCUAAGUAAGCUGAAGUCUUACCACUGAACCAACAAGCUCAUUUUUAUCAUUAAUUGAGCAAAAAUAAUAUAUAAGCUUAAUAUCCAAAUCAAGGGUUGGGUCAAAAAUUUUUUUAAAAAAAUUAAACAAAAGAAUUUGAAGGCCAUUUUACCAAAAUAGUCCAAAAAAAUAUUAUAUUUACAAAAAUAACUCAGGUUUAAAAACAAUCACCAAAAUAACCUAAAAUGAACAGUACCCACUCGUUUUUUGCACCCAUGAUUGCCUAAUAAUUGUGUCAGAAUUAAAAAAAUUAAUUUUUUUGGGUUUUGGCCUGUCAACGGCCGGAACCCAUGUAUUUUUUUAAAUUGUAUAAUAUUGAUAUACGAAAAAAGGAAAAAAAGAAAAACGAAAAAAAAAAUUUUGGGUGCUGGCCUAUCAAUGACCAGCACCCAGUACAUAUUUUUUAAAAAAAAUUCUUUUUUUUCGCAUCAGAAUCAGAUAACAGAUAUCAGAUAUCAGUACAAUUUAAAAAAGAAUUCUUUUUUUUGUGUCAAAAUCAGAUAUCAAUAUACGAAAAAAAUUAAAAAACAAAUUUUUUUGGGUGUCGGCCAUUGAAUAGCCGGCACCUAGUACAAAUUUAAAAAAAAAAAUCUUUUUUUUUUCGUGUCAAAAUCAGAUAUCAAUAUACGAAAAAAAUUUAAAAAAAAAUUUAGGUGCAGGCCUGUCAAUGGCCGGCACCCAGUACAAUUUAAAAAAAUUUCUUUUUUUUUUCGUGUCAGAAUCAGAUAUUAGUAUACGAAAAAAGUAAAAAAAAAAUUUGAGUGUUGGCUAGUCAAUGGCACGAAAAAAAAUUUGAUAUUUGAUUCUGACACAAAAAAAAAAGAAAUUUUUUUUUAAAAAUUGUACUGGGUGUCGGCCAUUGACAGGCUAACACCCAAAAAAAAAAUUUAAUUUUUUUUUGUAUAUUGAUAUCUGAUUUUACCACGAAAAAAAAAAGAAAUUUUUUUUUUAAAAUUGUACUGGGUGCUGGCCAUUGACAGGCCAGCAUUCAAUUUUUUUUUUUUGUAUACUGAUAUCUGAUUCUGACACGAAAAAAAAGAAAAAAAUAAUUUUAAUUGUACUGGGUGCCGACCAUUGAGAGGCCAACACCCAAAAUUUUUUUUUAAUUUUAUUCGUAUAUUGAUAUCUGAUUUUGACAUGAAAAAAAAAUUUAAAAUUGUACUGGGUGCCGGCCAUUGAAAGGCCAGCAUCCAAUUUUUUUUUAAAUUUUUUUCGUAUAUUGAUAUCUGAAUCUGAUUUUGACACGAAAAAAAAAUUAAAAAAUUAUACUGGGUGCCGGCUAUUGACAUGCCAACACCCAAAUUUUUUUUUAUUUUUUCGUACACUGAUAUCUGAUUCUGAAACAAAAAAAAUUUUAAAAUUUGUACUGGGUGCCGGCCAUUGAUAGGCCAACACCCAAAAAUUAUUUUUUUUCGUUUUUCGUAUAUUGAUAUCUGAUUCUGACACGAAAAAUAUAAUUUUUUUUUGUACAUUCCGGCACCCAAAAUUUUUUUUUCCUUUUUCGUAUAUCAGUAUUAUAAAAUUUAAAAAAAUACAUGGGUUCCGGCCAUUGACAGGUCAAAACCCAAAAAAUUAAUUUUUUUAAGCCUGACACAAUUAUUAAGCAAUCAUGGGUGCAAAAAACGAGUUGGUACUGUUUAUUUUAGGUUAUUUUGGUGAUUGUUUUUAAAUCUGGGUUAUUUUUAUAAAUAUAAUAUUUUUUUAGACUAUUUUGGUAAAAUAGCCGAAUUUGAACCUAGAACCUCAUACACACUAACACAACACAUAGCCACUAAACUAGAUUAAUCACUUUGAUAAUUUUUAACAAUUCAAAAAUAAAAAUUUUGGGGCGUUACAAUAAUAAUAUGGUUUAAAUUAUUUUUUACAUCAUUCAUAAAAAUUAUAACAAACUUACAAAAAGAUUUAAUGAUAUUUAAUUAUUAACGGGUAAAAAAAUUAUAUCAUAUAUCAUAUAUAUUCUAUAUUUAUUAUAAUAGUUUCAUCUUUCAAAUUUUCUUCCUCAUAAUUAAAGCAUAAGUUAUAUUUAUAAUAUUAUAAAAUAUUAUAUUUAAAAAAUUUACACACACAAUCAACCUAUGCAUAGCACGAGAUAAGAAAACUAGUUUAUCAAUAUGAACGAGUUUACAUAAACUUUAAUAUACAAAAUUCGAGCUAAAUCUAGCUUCAAUUUUUUGGUCAACUUCUUUUGACUUUAAAUCUUACUUCUUCUUCUUCUUUUGGCAUAACGACUUAUUUGGCACAAAAACAAAAGUCAUUUUAGCUUUUUAUGUAUUUUUUCACCAUUUUUAACCUUUAAACUUACAUUUUUUGUCAAAUCGCUCCAAAAUGAAUCGGUAUGUUAAUGUUUUUUAACUUUGCUAAUGUUGCAUACAUAUGGAUUGCUAUGUGGAUGACACAUCAACAUUUAAUUAAUUUUAAAAAAUAUAAAAAAACUAUUUUUAAAAAUUAAAAUCAUUAAAAUUAUCAAAUAAAUAUAAAUAUUUUUAAAAAUUAAUUAAAUGUUGAUGUGUCAUCUACGUGGCUAUCCAUACGUAUGUCAUGUCAGUAAAGUUAACAAAUAUUAAUAUUUUCAUCCAUUUUGGAAUAAUUUGACAAAGAAAUAGAAGUUCAAAAACUAAAAAAGAAAAAAUUAAAUAUAAGACCAAAAUAUAUAUUUUUAAAUUGAAGGACCAAAUAAAUGAUUAUGUAAAGUUGUGAAUAUUAAUCUUACCAUAACAAUCAUAAUUCGCUUAUGCUUUAUUCAUUUUUAGGGUUUUCCUUACUAGGAGUCUAGGAUACUUGAAGGCAGAUAUUAUUAUUAUAAAUAUUAUUAUAUAUUAAAUUAAUUUUUAUGUUUAAUAAUUAAAUUUAAACAUAUUUUUUUAAUUAAGGAACAAUAAUUUGGUCCGGAUGCGUCCUUGGACAGUUUUGUAAUUUCCCAAGUUAUUAACUUUUGUUUAGGGUUUAUCAUAGUUAGGAAUUAAUUGGCCUAAUUUCUCAACUUAGAUUUGAUGAUACGAUUAAAAAAUAGGAAAUAUCAAAAUCUGAUAAUAUGAAUUAUUUGUUGACACCUUUUUUUUGAUAAAACGGGGUCGACUUGGAUUUUGAAAACGAAAACGAAAAUGGGAGUCGCCACCAAUCCUUUUUGAUGAGGUGUAAUCGGAUCACCUUGAAAAGUGGUUGUUUUUAAUAAACGAUUUGAUUUUGUUAAAACAACAAUUUUGGUCCACGAAAUUCAGAAAAUCAGGUUCGGGAGUCGAUUACGUACGAGGAAGGAUUAGCACCCUCGUAACGCCCAAAAUUGGUACCUAGUUGAUUAAUUAGUGUCAUAGUGUCGAGAAUUGGAAACUUUGAAGAGAUUCAAAAUACGAUCCUUGAUUUUAAAAAACUUAUAUAAAAUAAGUUACUCGUUAAGACCCUCUCAUUUCGGAAAGAGAAAAUGUCACACCCAAUGAGUUAGGGCAUAAUAUUUCACUUCCUCAAAAAUGAGCUUAUCCAAAAAAAAAACUCGUGCAAUAAAAUUUAAAAGGAUAUUCAAUUGUUUAAGUCAGAUGAGGAAAUCGCAGCCCAAUACGUUAGGGCACAAUUUCUCAAAAUUCUAAACAUUGAAUAUUACCUUUAUUAUUUUUAGGAAAAUCCUCAUCUCGAGAAAACAACGUGUCAUAUCCAAUGCGUUAGGACACAACGUAUUGAAUUCCCGGUAAUGAGCUUUUUAUUCAUGUGUUUUUUUUAUUAAAGAGCAUUCUCGACUAUUUAGAUUAAACGAAAGAAAUUGGAACCCAAUACGUUAGGGCUCAAUCCUCUCGAAGAUCCCAAAUACCGAGUAUUGCCUUUAUUUUCAAAAUUUCCUCUUUUUACAAAUUCGGGUAAAAAUUGAUGUAAUAUUAAAUUUGAUAUAUGAAUAACAGCCGCAUUAAUAAAUGACAAUAAUGAAUAUGACGAUGUAGCAUAAAUAAUACAAGCAAUAGUAACGAAAAUAAAUUAGAUAAAAAUGAGAAAUCGAUGACAUACAAAAUAACAAGUAUAUAAGCAAAUAAAAUUAAAACAUUCUUUUAAAAUAACAAUGAAAAUGUAAAUAAAUAAGUAAAUAAAGAAAAUGAAUAAAAUUAUAAAAAAAUUUAAAAAGAUAUAUAUGUAUGUAUAUUAAAAUAUAUGUAUAUGUAUUUACAAAAUAUAAAAAAAUGUAUAAGUACAUAUAUAUAGGUAAAGUAUGAAAAUAUGUGUAUAUAUGUACAUAAAUUAAAAUGCGUAUAUAUAUAGGUAUAUAUAUAUAUAAAUGAAAUAUGUAAGACUAUACUUAUAAUGAUUUAAAAAUGUACAUAUAUAUAUUAUAGGGACUGUAUGUAUACAUAUGUAGGGAUUAUAAAAUGUAUAUGCCUAUAUAUAUAUUAGAAAUAUGCAUGCCUAUAUAUAUAUAACAAGAUUUUGGAAUAAAAAAAAAAGGUGUAACCGAAUAAAUAAUAAUAAUAAGUAAUAAUAUAAUAAUAUUAAUAGUAUUAAAUAAUUACUUUUAAUAGAAAAAUAACUAAAAUAGCAUAUUGAGGAUUAAAUUGAAAAUAAACGGAGUUUUAGGGCUGGAUUUAAAAAUGGAAAACACAAAGGGGACCGAUUUAUAACACACGCGAAGUCCAGAGGAUUGAUUUGGAAAAUAUCCCAAGCCCUACGCGUAGCGUUUUGAUGCGGACUGAAAUGAAACAUAAGAGAAAUUAUGCAGCCGAAUUAAAAAAACAAAAUGGGACCAAAUUGCACUAGGCUGCGAAAGAGGACGGACCUCUAGCGAAAUAUCCCCCUUCACUGCAGAAACACGAGGAUCCUGAGGGCGGACGGGUCGAGUCACGGGUCAGGGCCAAAACGACGUUGUUUUGGCACCUGAUCCCUAGUUGCAAAACGGGGCCAUUUUAUUUAGGGUAUUUAAGUAAAAAAAAUUGAAAAAUCAAUACAGCCACCAUUUAAAAAAAAUUCAAAACCCCUCCCCUUUUAUCUCAAGAUCCGGCUCUCAGUCCCCUCGGCCUCCGUCGCCCCGCCUUUCUGCUCGCCGCACCGCCACCGUAUUCGACGACCGACGAAGCGCAAGAACGGGCGUUCGAAGCCUUGCCCCGGUGAGUUUCCCCUUUCCUUCUUUUUUUUUAUUUACCAUAUAUAAAAAGAAUUAAAAAUAGAAUAAAAAAUAGGGAUACACUAUCAAAAUAUGGAUCUUGUUCCAAAAUCAAACAAUCACCUUGAGAUUGUUGUGUUUCUUUUUAUUCUUUGUGUCUUUUUGAUUUUCUGAAAUGUUCAAAAGAAAAGAAAAAAAAAACCCUUACAAUCGGUUUUAGAUUGCUUUUAUAGUCAUUUACAACACUUUUUUUUAUCUAUUUUUCUAAUGUUUCUCUUGCGUGCAUGUUCUUCUUUGUAGGGAGUGGUUGGCGCGACAGGGAGGAGCGGUGGUGGUAGCUGAGGCUAGGGAUAGGGUGAGGUGGCUUCUGAAACCCUAGUUUGACUAUUGGGUCAGUGGGUUUUGGGUUGUAAUGGGCUAGUAUUUUGGGUUUAAGUUUGGGUUUCAAUUGGGCUAGGGUGUUUUGGGUUAAAUUUCUUGGACUGUUAAUUUUUUAAUUUGUUUGGGUUUUAUUUGUCUGGGCCCGGGUAAAAAUGGGCUUGUACAUUCUUAAUACUAGUUUUUUUUAUAUGAGUAAAUAGAUAAUUACUUGAACCAAUUUAAUAAAAAUUAAUAUAUUAAAAAAUAUAAUGUCAUCAUUUUAAUAGUUUAUAUCUUUAUAAAUUUUAAAUGAUUAAAUUAAAUUUUUAUUAUUUGAGAGGUUAAAGUACACUUUUACUAUUACUAAUUUAAAAUUUUAUAAAUUAUAAAGGAGACUAAAUAAAAAAAAAUCCAUUUUAGGGAGGCCGGAAAACCUUGCCAGCCUCCCUGACUUCACCAUUAAAAUCUAGAAUAUGCUCCUCACUAUGCGUCGGAAAAUUAAAGAUUUAAAAUUAUAUUAUCGUGUAAUAGAUAUAAUGAUUUUAAUUUUUUAAAUAAAUAAAUAAAGUUAAAGUUAAAAUCAAAUCAAUGUGAUCAAUUGUACUAAAUAUAGAUGAUUUAAGACAUGAUGCAAAUAAAGCAUAGUAAAAUAAUUAAUAUAUAGCAUGCCAUGAUAACAAAUGCGAAUUUAGAGAGGCAGACAAGGGUUCUUUUACUAUUUAGGUUUUUAAGUUUUUUUAAAAUUUUAAAUUAGUAAAUGUAAAAUUGUACUUUGCCCCUUCAAGUUAUAAAAAUUUGAUUUAAUCUUUUAAAAAUCUGGCUUCGCCCCUGCAUGAUAAUAAUAUUAAUACAACACAAAUACACAAAAAAAUCAAAUUUUAUACAUAAUAAUUAUUUACUUGUAUAAUUUUGUAAUAUUUUGAAUACAAAGAAAUAACACAAACAAUUUUCUCUAAAUUGAAUCACUCAAAUAAAAUAUUUUAAAUAUCUCAUAAUUUUAAAAUGUAGUAUAAGGAUAAUUUUAAAAAAUAAUUUAUUAUGAUAAAUUAUAUAAAUUAAAUAAAGAAACAAUACUAACCCAAUAUAAAAGAAAUGUAAUAAUAAUAUCAUAAACAAUUUUUAGUUAAUUAAACAUUGGAUAGCUUCGCUGGAUCAUGUCCUGGCUUCCUCAUGUAUAAGAAAAAGCCUCACAUUGAGGGGCCAGUAGACGUUUGGCCUUCAAACGAUUGACUAAUUUUUGUCUUUUAAUUAGAAUUUGGCACGUUGAUGAUGGGAGGAAAGAAAGGAAAGCGUGAAAUAGAUUUCAUCGUGGUCUGGGUCAUUCGUCCAGAUUCGAAGGUCUACUUAAAAAGUGAGAAAGUUUAAGUAAAAAUAUAGGCUCGAAAAAUAGAUUUCGGCAAAAAAUAAUACUCGUUUUCUAAACGGGUCAAGCCUCGGAUAAGAUCUUUUGAUCUGGCCUGGCCUGAAUUUGCCUAAAAAAAUUUUCACUACUGUUUAGUGUUGGUUUGUUGUUGUUUGCAGCCAUUUUGAUGUUGUUUUGUUAUCAUAUUGCUACUAUAUUACUACUAUUUUGUUGUUAUUGUUUGGAUAUUAUAUAUCUCUUGUUUUAUUAUUAAUUUUGCUACUAUUUUAGAGGCAUUUGCUUGUUAAAUUGCACUAUCUUAGUGUUAUUUAAGUAUAAAGACUUUUUUUAAUGUAUUUUCAAUUUAUUGGGAAACGUUUAUUUUAAUGUUUUUAGUGUAUUUGAUGUAUUAUAUUUUGGGUAGACUACCAAAAUAGUCACUUUUGUUUACCUCGGGUUACAUUUUAGUCACUUAUGUUUGAAAUGUUAGGUUUUAGUCACUUACAUUAUCGUUUUGUUACGAAAUGGUUGUUACUCUAUCAUUAAGAUUUGUUACUAGUUCGUGAUAGAAUGUGCAAGUGUACACAGUCGUUAUCAAGUAAUAAGUAAGUAAAAAGAGUUAUUGUCUCCACAGGGACUGUGUUUAAAUUGAUAAUUGUAAAAUUACUAUUCACAAGUUGGUUAAAAAAACACAAUAUUUUCAAGGUGAUUGAUGUUAGAAUUAAAUUAAUGCAAAUGAAUUAACCUAAAUGCAAUGCAAUGAAAUAAGAUGCAAUGAGAUGGUUUAGCAACAAUUUCAUAAGUUUUAACAAAAAUAACACGAAUGAGCUAGAACAACUACAACACUUGACUCAAUUAGUAUGAUGAUAAUCAGUAUGUUUUUUUCACCUUCAUGUUGGAAAUUCGUCAUGCGUAAUUAUACACGUAGACCUUUAAAUUCAAUAAUGUGUGAUUGUCAUGUGUGGUUGUCAUGUGUGGAUUUUAAUUUACACUAUAGCAAAACAGGUUUUUAGCGGCGUUUAUAGCGGCGUUUGAACGAAAAGCGCCGCAAAAAAUCGAGCAUUAGUGGCAAAUUCUAACAAAUGCCACAAUAUGUAAGCAAUAGCGGUGCUUUUACUAAAACGCCGCAAAUGAUCAAGCAUUAGGGGUGCUUAUAGAAAAACGCCGCAAAAAACUUGGGAAAAACAACGCCGUUUGCUUUUUCCAUUAGCGGCGAUAAUUAACAAACGCCGUAAAAAAUCUAGAAUUAGCGACACUCUUUUACAAACGCCGCAAAAGAUCGAGAAUUAGUGGCGUAUUCUGUAAAACGCCGCUAAAGGUCAAACAUUAGCGGCGCUUUACGAAAAACGCCGUAAAAAAUUUGAGAAAACGACAUCGUUUUGUAUUUUGAGAUUUAAUGGUAUUAGCGGCGCAUUUUAACAAAUACCACAACAGAUCGAGAAUUAGCAACGGUUUUUAUGAAACGCCGCUAAAAAUGAGCAAAACGAUUUCGUUUUUUUGUUUAGCAUUAGCGGUGUUUUUUAAGAAACGCUGCAAAAAAUAGUUUUAUUUUACACUUUUUGGUUUAGGGUUUAUGGUUUUAAGGUUUAAAGUUUAAGGUUUAGGGUUAGUAUUUAAGGUUUAGGGCUUAGGGUUUAUGGUAUAAUGUUUAUUAUUUUCGGAUUAGAAUUUUGAGUUUUGCGUUUAUGGUUUAGAGUUUGUGGUUUGGAGUUUAAGGUUUAGGGUUUAGUAUUUAAGAUUCUUUUUUAAUUACUUUUGUCCCCUAUAAUAUCUAUAUUUAGGGUUUAGGGUGUAUGAUCAUGGUUUAGGGUUUAAGGUUUAUGGUUUAAGAUUUUAAGGUUUAGAGUUUAGUUAAUACGGGAGAGGUUUAUGGUUUUGGAUUUAAGGUUUAGGGUAAUUUAAGAAUUAUGGUUUAGGUGUUUAGGGUAUAGGGAUUAGGGUUUAAAUUUUAUGGUCUAGGGGUUUUAGGAUUUAGGGGUUUUUGGGUGUUUAGGAUCUUGGGUUUAGGGUUUUUUGUCUAAUUAUGAAUUUCAUCCUUCUAUCUUAUAAAAAAAAAGUUAAGCUUUUUUCUUUAAUUCAUUAGAAUUUAAUCUUUGUACUUUAAAAAAAACUAAUUUUAAAAUAAUUAAUAGAAUUAUUAAAAUUUUAAGAUACCCAAAUUAAAUUAUUUUUUAAUAGUAGAGGAAGAAUUGUCUUCCAUCAUUGUAUUCAAUUUUAAAAUUGAACAAUUAAAUAAUGUCAUAUUAAAAAUUUUAAAAAUUUAACAAUUAAAAAUAAUGUCAUAUAUAUUAGUGUAUCAAAUUUUAAUUUUAUAAAAUCGUUAAAUAUUUUUCAAAUAUUUAACGGUCGUGGCGUUUGGACCAAAAACGCACUACACCAAAACAGACUUUUAGCGGCGCUUUUUUAGGCCUUUAGUGGCGCUUUUUAGCACCGUCGCUAGACCAAGACCAUUAGCGGCGCUUCUUUCACAAACACCGUUAAAGACCAUGACCUUUAGCGGUGCUUUUCCCACAAACGCCGCUAAAGACCAAGACCAUUAGCAGCGCUUCUCGCAAAAAUGCCGCUAAAAACAUAACCUUUAAAAAAUUUAUUUUAAUCAAAUUAUAUUUAUUUUUAUGAUAAAUAUUAUAUUUUGUUUUAUUUUAUUUUCUAAAUUUGAACUUUAAAUAUACUUUUAAGGAUAAAUAAAAAAUAUUAUUUAAAUUAAAUUUUCUAUGAAAAUUUUAACUUUAAAACUAAAUAUAAAAAUUAAUGAAUUUAGUUUUAGAAUUUAAAAUAAUAAAUUAAUAACACAAUUAAAAUCCAAAAGUUAGAACUCUUAAGGAAAAAUAAAAAUUUAGAAUCAAAACUAAAAUAAAUAAUACAUAUGCAAGGUAAUAAAACAUACAAUGCAUUUUCUUAAUCAAGUAAAUCUUGGUAAUAAAAUAUAUAAUACAUUUAUUUAAUCAAGGAUCUCUUGUAAUGAACUCAAAGCAAUGAGCGUGAAACUGAAAGCAGCAGAAUCGUAAUGAACUCAAAGCAAUGAGCAUCAGAAUUGAGAAGAAAAAAAGAAUCACGAUACGCAAACGAGAUCCAGAACUUCUGUUCCUUUGGACGCCCACACUGGAUAGUCCCCGCUUCAACGCCAUUGGCUAUCAGAGCCUAAUAACAACAAUAGCAGCAGCAAAAUCACUCAUCAAAAGGUGGAAAAAGGAUAAUUACAAGUUAACAGUGAGGAGAUCGCAUGAAACUGAAAGCAGCAGAUCCGUAUCGAAGCUAGUUGGAAUGGAAAUCCAUGGGAAAGCAAGCAUAGAUUAAAACUUCAUAGAACUUUCUCUAAAAACUUCAUAGUAAACUGCUUCAGUCUACUUUUUAUUUUACUUGUACAACAAUUACAUGAUAUGCCAAAAUAAAAAAUAUGGGUCUGCGCCACAGAAUCCAUAAAAAACUUCAUAGAACUUUCUCUAAACUUUUACUUGCCAAUGUUGUCAACCUUUUUUCAGGAAUUUGGAGCAUGCAGAAACCAUAUAAUUUAGCUAUCCCAUUUUACAGUGAAAGCUAGGAACACACAAGAAACAGAUGAAAAAGGAUAAAUCUAAUACCCGUAAAGCAUCAGUAACUUGGCGUCCUUGUAGCCCAUCUUUUUGCAGAGACCAUCUAUUCUCAGCAUUUUUCUUCUUUGAAAAACCCGUAAAAUAUGGGUUUUGGUGUUAAAUAAUGCAACUGCCAUCAACAUCAAGGUCGAAAUCAUAGCUUAUUCUUCCAUGUUAAGAAAAGUAUGCUAAAAAAUGAGGGUUAGAAAAUAAAAUAAUGCCUGGUUUGAAACAUACACCAUUGAUGUAAGAAUAGGGUUAGAACUCUAUGAACAUUAAGCAAAAUAGCCAAUUUAAAUUCACUUAACAACAUUAAGAAAAAUGAUACAAAUGCAAAAAAGAAAAAAAUAAUAAAUAUAUACAAGACAAACAAAAGAAGAGAAGAUUAGUACUAAACCAAUGUUCCCUUACCGAGAAGACAUGAUUUCUAAUCAAUGAAUUAGUGCCACAAAAUAAACAAAAAGAUCAGCGGCACAGGCACAGAACUUGCGCAUUUUUUAACUGCAAUUAAAUCCAGUUCCAUUUUGCAUAUAUAAAAAGAAAAUAUAAGCUCAAUGUGCCAAAAAAACUAAUAAAAUUUGAGCUCAACUUAACAAAAAUCAAAGUGCAGCCAAACAAUGACUCUAGUUCUGACCUUAAUAAUGGCCAACUAACUAAAACUUCCUUCAUACCAAACAAAGACAGUAUAUCGAUAUUCUUCAUACCAAACAAAGACAGUAUAUCGAUAAGCUUAGUGCUAAAGGCCCGAGCAUUAGCGGCGCUUAGCAUUAGCGGCGCUUCUUCAAAAACGCCGCUAAAAGCCCCAAAAACUCAGAAAACGGUGUCGUUGGGCUUUGGCUUUUUGCAGCGCUUUUUAGAAAACGCCGCUAAUGCUUAUUUUUAGCGGUAUUUUCUGAAAAGCAUCGCUAAUGCUCUACCUUUAGCGGCGUUUUUAUAAAAGUGCCGCUAAUGCUUGAUUUUUAGUGACGUUUUUUGCCCAAACGCCGCUAAAAGCUUGUUUUUGUGUAGUGAUGCCACAACAAUGUCUUAAAAAUUAUACAAAACGGGGCCGUUUGGUUACAAGAAUUUAAUUUUUAGUGGUGUUUUUCUCCACAACGCCGCAAAAGGUAUGCAAUAGCGGCGUUUGUUAUAAAAAUGCCACAACAAUGUAUUAAAAAGUGCACAAAAACUGCGUCGUUUGCUAACAGGAUUUUAACUUUUUAGUGGCGUUUUUCUCAGAAUCACCGCAAAAGGUAAGCAUUAGCGGCGUUUUGUCUAAAAACGCCGCAACAAUGUAUUAAAAAUUGUUCAGAACGGUGCCAUUUCGUUUCAGAAAAUUAAAAAUUGCUCAGAACGUCGUCGUUUUCUUCCACAUAACAAUUUUCUUCCCCUUUCCCGCACCCAGCCCCUAAUUCCCCUUCCAAAUCCCUAAUUCCCCUUCGAAAUCUCUUCCAAAUCCCUAAUUCCACUCAUUCACAGAGACGAACCUGCAGAACUAGCAUUGGUUUUAUUUUUGUUUCUUCGAUUCUUCAUUUCGUUUUUUACUUAUUGGGAGCAUCUAUUUCGAUUUCUUCACAACAUUUAGACGAAGACAGAGUAAACGACAUUCUAUUUUUUGGGUAAGCUUGAACCAGUUUCAUUUCCUUUUUUUACGUGUUUAGGGUUUGGGUUAUUCUUGUUUGUGUGAAUUUUUUGUUUUUUUCAAAGUUAUUGACCCUGAAAUCCAGUUAAUUUGUCUUUGGUUUUAGGGUUUCCGAUCUGUAAAAACGUUCGCAUUUCACACUUUUACUCGUGGAAUUUGUUCUGAAGUGAUUUAAUUUCUUUUCAUCUUCCUAAAGGUAUUUUUUUCUUCUCUCUUAAUUCUAGUUUUAGCAAUUUAGUCUAUUUAGGGUUUAAACCAUUUACUGUUACAUUUUGACAAUAAAAUGCAUGCUUUCGAGUGCCUGAAUUUAUUUUGUAUUGAAAUAUAUUUUAAAAUAUAUCAUUAGUGCAUUAUUGGUUGCUUUCUCAUGCAGAUUUAGCAAUUUAGUCAGGCAGAGGCAGAGUAGUAGUUUUUUCUUUCCAUUUUGAUUGUAGCAAUUUAGUCGGCAAAUUUGGUAGCUCUCACUGGUUUGAAGCAAUACACAGAAAGUCUAGAUAACCAGAAGGUUAGUUAAUCCUUUAUUUUCUUUUUUUUUCAUUUUUUAAAUUUACGUUUGAAUUUGGUAUAUUUUUAGUUGGGACUGUUUUAUUUAGGAAUUUGGUUAAUGUUGCUGCAAGUUCUUUUUUGCUGCAAGUUCUUUUUUGCUCCAUUUUCUACUAAGUGUUGUAUGUUAAGAUCGGUUAUGGAAUAUAUUUGCAAUUAUCAUACAGUAUUUUGGUUUUUAAAAAUCCAAAUUGAAAUCAAAUUGAACCGAACCUUUCACUGGUUUGAAUCGGUUUGGUUCAUCAAUAAAUACAUAAUUUCUUUAAAACUUUUUUUUAUAUUAAAGUUACUUUCACUCGUUUAAAUAUGAAGUUUUUAUUUUCCCACUGUGAAAGUUUUUAAUUUUUAAUUUUUGUUUGGAUAAUUUUGGUUUAUCAACUUGUGAAAUGAAUUGAUUAAACGUUUUUAUGAAUCGAAUUUGUUUCAAGUUCAGAUUUGAUUUGGGUUUGUUGUAAUUAUAUAUUUUCAAAUGAAUAAAUAAUGCAUAAGUUUACAAAACAUAAUGUGUUAUUGCUCACGAAAACCUAAAAGAUUAUGUCCGAAUAAAGACAAAACUGCAGCUAUAGUCCAUCAACAUCAAAUUUGUGGAAGGACUUAAAAGGAUUAUGCUUAAUGAAAAUGGUUGCUAUAAAAAUUAUUUUUUUGAAUAAUUAUGAGUAAAUUUUUUAAAAAAUCGAUCUACUCUAAAUUUAGUGUAUGGCAUAUUUUGUAAAGAUAUACGAUAAAUACACUUGUCAAUUUUUUUAAUUUCCAUUUUAAAAUUGCCGCAAAAACAACUCUUUUUUAUUAGGAUUUAAUUAAAUUGAUUUCAAUCGGCAAAGUAUGAUGAAAUUCUUACUAUCAUUAAAAAAAUAGGUAAAUGUUAUGUUGUUGAGAUGUUUUAGGUUGGUUAAUAUUGGUUACGAUACUUUAAUCACCUCCAAUAUAUAUAAAAAAAAAUUAAAAAUUUGAGAAUUUAUGAAAUGAUAUAAUGUUAAUUCGUUAGCAUUAAAUAUUCUUAUUAUGUUACAAGUCAAUUAAAUUGAUGUCUUGAGCUUUGAUUUAAAUUAAAAAAGAAUAAAUUUAAACAUUAGAACGGAAAUAUCUAUAUUAUAAUAUUUGUAUCUAUAUACUAUUAUUUUAGUGUUUUAUUGAGUUGAUGUUAAUAUUUAAUAUUUUUAAAUGUUUUUAAAACUUAAAAAAUAUAUAUCAUAGCUUACAUAACUUACAUAACUCGCAUAACUUAUAUAUAUCAUACCAUAACUUAAAUAACUCACAUAACUUACAUAACUUAAUAACUUAUAUAUAUUGUCGAAACCAUUUUUAUAAAAUUUGAAAAACGGGGAUCGACUUCGAAAAUAAAAUGGGAGUCGCCACCGAUCUUUUAUUAAGGUGUGACCGGUUCACCGUUAAAAUGAUUUUGGUCUGCGAAAUUUUGAGAAAAUAAUUUCGGGAGUCGGUUACGUACGAGGAAGGGUUAGCACCCUCGUAACGCCCAAAAUUGGUACCAAAUUGAUUGUUUAAUGUCUUAAUGUCGAAAUUUUGAAAAAAUUUUGAAAUACAAUCCUCUGAAGUUUAAAUUUGAAUAAACCAAAUUGCAUAAUAAGACGCACUUAUUUCGAAGAAAUAAAUUGCCACACUCAGUGAGUUAGGGUGCAACAGUUCAAUCUUUAAAGUUAGAUUUGUCCUUUUAGAUUUUAAAAAUUCACGUGUUUUGAGAAGGAUAUUUGGUUAGUUGGGUCAAUCGAGAAAUUGGAAUCCAAUAAGUUAGGGUUCAAUUUCUCGAGAUUCCUAAACACCAAAUAUUGCCUUUAUUUUAAAAUCGAGAGAACAAGAUGUCAUAUCCAGUAAGUUAGGACCCAACAUCUUGAAAUCUCACAUGCUUUAUUUUGAAAUUGUAUGGUUUUAACAAAAUAAGCACUUGGCUAUCUAAAUUCAUCGAGAAGAGUUGAAGCCCAGUAAGUUAGGGCACAACUCACUCGAGAACCAUGAACACUAGGCCUUUUCUGAAAAUUAUGAAAUAAAAUGAUUGUGGUGCUUUGAUAAAAUACAAUUUUUACAAAUGAGACAUGAUUGAAUAGUAAUACAUAAUAUAAAAGAUAAAAGAUAAAUAGCAACACAAACCUACACUAAGACGUAACAAGUAGGUGAUAGAUAAAUACAAAUAGCAAUAAUGAUUUUAGUCAUAUUAUACUAAUACCAACAUCAAUGUUCGAAAGCUAAACAAAUCUAUCAUCAAUUUUAAGAAUACACCAAGAUAAUAAAAAAAUGAAAAAAAUAUCCUACGUAUAAAAGUUUUAAAAUAAAUUGCAUGCAUGAACUCAAAAUAAACUUGAAAUAAAAUAAUAACAACCUUGAAAAAUAGUAUAUAAAAAAAAUUAUAUAAACAUUUAGCAUAUAGAUAUACAAAAAUGAAUUUUAAGAUAUAACCUAAACAAAACAUUAAAAUGUAUACAAAUUAUACCAAAUUCUUAUAAAAAUAUACAUAUUAAUAAAUAAUGAAUCAAAUAAUAACAUGUCAAGUUUGAAGAUAAAAAUAUAUAAUAGAUAUUAAAAAAAUAAUAUAUGAUAAAUUUAAAACAUAUCAAUAAUAAUUUAAAAUAAUAGUAUAUUACAUUUUAAAAUUAUACUAAUAAUAAGUUUAAAAGUAAUGUCAAACUAAAUAUUAAAAUAUGCUAUAAAUAAAUAUAUUAAAAUAAGUACUAAAUUCGAUUUAAAAUUAUACUAUUAAAAUCAAGUUAAAGUUAAGACAUAAUUUAAAUAUAAAGAAAUAAUAAUAAUAAUAAUAAUAAUAGGAUUAAAAAUGAUAUUGGAAUUCAAAUAAAAAUAAAAAUAAAACACUACAAAUAGAAAUAAAAAAGAAAAAAUAAAGAUAAACUAAAUUGGUAAUCGACGUAAAAAAUGAGGGACUAAAAUUGUAAUUAAACGCAUGACCUGGGCAUUCAAUCCUAAUAAUGAAAACGACACCGCAUAACUAUGGAUCAAAUUGAAAACAAAAUAAAAUACACGAUUCAAAAUAAAAAAAUGAAGAAAAUCAAAUCGAAACAUCACAAAACAAGAGGGACUCAUCGUGCAAAUAGACCAAUGAAUAGAGACGCGCGAAUCCUGCCCCAGGUCGGGUCACCACGUUGGUCUGAGCCUCUAAACGAUGUCGUAUUGUGGCCACUGCACAGGCUCUGAACGACGUCGUUUCUUUCACUACUUAUAAGUAGAACCCUAGAGCAAUCAGCAAUUUAUUUUAUUUAAAAUAAAACCUUAAAGAUUUGAUUGCUGUUUUCAGCGCCGUUCUGUGAUGCAGUCAUUCGAAAAGGAACUUCGAAUCCUUGCUCAACCUCCGAUUGCGACAGAGAGAACCAGGAUCCGGCGGCCAGGUAAGUUCUCUUCUAACUCAUCCUUUUUAAAAAGAAAAGAAAAGAAAAGUAACAUAGAUGGAUCCCCUCGCCGCAUCUGUGGAUCGACUACUCAGGAGAUCCUCAGCCUCGUCCGACCCUGAUUGCGACGGAGCGAACGGAGACCGGGUAAGCCUCUCCUUUCCUUUCUCUCUUCUAUUUUAGUACUAAUCAAUGAACAAAGGAGCAGAGAAAAAAAAGAAAAAGCAAAAAGAUUAACAAUCACCUUUCGAACUUUUCGAUUUCUUCGAAUGAAUUUUUUUUGUAUACAAUAUGCAUGUGUGAUUUUUUUUGUCUCUGUGUCCUUUACAAAGGCCUUGCCUUUUUGUUUUAUAGGCCGAAAGAAAAAAUAAAUAAAAAGAAUCCAUUUUUUCGUUUUCUCUGCUGCGUUUUCUUCCCAUUUGCAGGUAUGGCGUGCGGGGCUGGGGACGUGGCAUGUACGGAGGCGCGCGCGAGGGAAAAGGCUCAGAACGUACGGAGGCUGGUCACGUGCGGACAAAAGGAGCUGCUGCGGCGCUGGGGUUUGCCCUAGGGUUGCUCUGUAUUUUUCUUGUUGGGCCGCUUCGUCAUUGGGCUAGGGUUUUAGAAAUUUAGGUUGGGUCUGGGUUGAAUUUGGGUUGUGAUAUUGGGCUUAGUGGGUCUGAUGUAUUUUGGGUUUGUAAUAUGGACUGAUGGACUUUUAAUAAUUUUGUUUUUAUUUAUAUUUUUUUUAUUUAUUUAUUUCUGAUUUGGACCGGGCAAAUUUGGGUUAUUACAUAUAUCAUACCAUAACUUAAAUAACUCACAUAACUUACUUAACUUAAUAACUUAUAUAUAUCAUACCAUAACUUAAAUAACUCACAUAACUUACUUAACUUAAUAACUUAUAUAUAUCAUACCAUAACUUAAAAUAACUCACAUAACUUAACUUAAUAACUUAUAUAUAUCAUACUAUAAUUUACAUAACUCACAUAACUUACAUAACUUAAUAACUUAUAUAUAUCAUAUCAUAACUUACAUAACUCAGAGAACUUACAUAAGUUACAUAACUUAAUUAUACUUAUAAAUAACCAUGAUUACCCGUGUAAUUUAUUGUCAACUUUAGACUUCAAUAACAACGAAAUGGACUGGUCUUGGAUGAAUUUGUCAAGGGUAAGCAACGACUAUCGAAAUGGAGUACAAAUUUUCCUAAAUUUUGUAUUCCAAAAUACAAGCCAAGAGAAUAUGAUUCUUUGCCCGUGUAAGAAGUGUGGCAACAUCAAUUGGCAUUUUCGUGAAGUUGUCUAUGAGCAUCUAAUUGCCGAUGGGUUUCUUCGGGGGUAUAAAGAAUGGAUUUUCCAUGGAGAAUGCACACCUAGUACUUCCUCUUCAACGAUUAAUCUGGCUCAUCCUCAUAGUGCUUACCAUCGGUCUGUCAGAGAAGAUAACAUGGAAGGUCUGUUUCGAGAUGCAUUUACUAUGCGCAAUCAUGGUUUGCAAUCAUUUUCACCCGACUUUGUUGUAUCCGAUGAUUGUAAUAUCGGUAGAAAUGCUUUUACCCAAACGGAAGAAGUAUACCUAAUGAAUAGCCAAAUGGAGAUGCGGAAAAGUUCUACACGCUGCUUAAUGAAAUGAAUGAAGAACUUUAUGAGGGAUCAAAAUUUUCAAAAAUGUCCUUCUGUAUUUGUCUUUUUCAGUUAAAGUGUUUGGGAGGGUGGACUGGAAACUCUUUGACAAUGCUGUUAAAGUUUUUGAGAGAGAUGUUUCUGUUUGCAAAAACCUCUCAUUCAUGCAAAGAUAUGAAGAAACUGAUAAAAGAUUUAGGCCUUGGGUACAACAAAAUUCAUAGUUGCUCAAAUAACUGCAUGUUGUAUUGGGGUGAUCGGAAAAACCAACAGUGUUGUCAUGUAUGCGGCCAAUCCCAUUGGAUAAAUAGAAACAAAAAAGAUGGGAAUGACGAUGAAAAUGAUGUACAGUAAAGAAAGAAGCUAAUUAAGAUUUUACGAUAUUUUCCGCUACUACUAAGGCUUCAAAGGCUUUUCACGUCGUCGAAGAUAGCCGAGUCUAUGACGUGGCACCAUGAUGGACGAACCAAUGAUGGAUUAUUAAGGAAUCCGGUGGAUUCUUUAGCUUGGAAAUCAUUUGACAGUAAAUUUCCAAGCUUUUCAAGCGAUCCUAGGAGUGUGAGGCUUGGGCUAGCAUCUGAUGGAUUUAAUCCUUACAAAAUCAUGAGCACUGCGUACAGUACUUGGCCUGUAGUGCUUGUUCCUUACAAUUUGCCUCCAUGGAUUUGUAUGAAGCAAUCUUCCUUUUUCUUAUCUAUGAUUAUCCCUGGAAAGAAAGGUCCCGGAAAUGAUAUUGACAUUUAUUUGCAGCCACUUAUUGAAGAGUUAAAAUAAUUAUGGGCUGGUGUUGAGACAUAUGAUGUACUGAGAAAGGAGAACUUUAAUUUACGUGCAGCUUUGAUGUGGACUAUUAAUGACUUCUUAGCUUAUGCCAAUUUAUCUGAUUGGAGUACCAAGGGACGUUAUGCUUGUCCUUGUUGUGCUGCGCAAACAUGUUCGCAAUGGUUAUAUAAUGGGAAGAAGUACUCUUACAUAGGACAUUGUCGGUGGUUACCGGGAAAUCAUAGAUUUAGAUUUUAGAGUACUCUGUUUGACGGUACUGAAAAGUUCAGAGAAGCUCCUUCGCAGACCGAUGGAUCUGAAAUCUUGUUCAUGUUGAAAGAUAUGAAUUUCAGUUAUGGGAAGAUGAAUCAACCACCCAACACGCAAAGAAAUAGAAGAUCAAGAGAUGAAUCUGAUGAUGAAGAGGAUGAAGAGGAUGAUCCUAAUGAGGCGGACUUGUGGAAAAAAAGAAGUAUUUUUUUGAGUUGCCUUAUUGGGAGCAUCACAUUUUACGACACAAUCUUGAUGUCAUGCACAUUAAGAAAAAUGUCUGCGAGAACAUCAUUGGGACAAUUUUGAAUGUCGAUGGAAAAUCGAAAGACAAUCUUCAGAGUCGACUUGAUUUAGUCCACAUGGGAAUUCGGCGUGAUCUUCAUCCCCAAGCACUUCCGAAUGGGAAAUAUCGGUUGUCGCCUUCUGUUUUUUCAAUGUCGAAGACGGAGAAAGAAGCGUUCUGCAUGGUGUUGAAGGAUAUAAAGGUCUCAGAUACGUAUGCAUUAAAUAUAUCUCGAUGUGUGAGUAUUAAAGAUCGAAGACUAUAUGCCUUAAAAUCACAUGACUAUCACAUCUUGAUGCAAGAUUUACUGCCAGUUGCUAUGCGGUGUUGUAUGUCGAAAAAGGUGACGUCUGGUAUAAUUGAACUAUCCAAUAUAAUGAAAGCCAUUUGUGGCAAAGUUUUGGAUGUUCAAGAACUUGAGACACUACAAGAUCGAGCCGCAUUGACUUUAUGCAAUUUGGAGAAGAUCUUCCCACCUUCUUUCUUCACUAUAAUGGUGCACUUGCUAAUCUAUCUCCCUCAUGAAACAAUACUUGGUGGACCCAUUUUCUAUCGAUGGAUGUAUCCCAUAGAAAUGUGUUAAUUUAUUUGUAAAUUAUUCAUUCAUUCACCUCUAUGCCUUUAGUUACAACUUUUGAUAAUGUUGUAUAUCGUAUUUAGGUUUCUAUCCAAAUUGAAGUCUUAUUGCCGCAAUAAGCGUUAUCCAGAAGACUCAAUUGCUGAAGGCUACUUGGCUGAGGAGUGUAUGACUUUCUGUUCUAGAUAUUUGGAAGAUGUUGAAACAAGAAUAAACAAACCAAGUAGAAAUGAUGGGCUCACUGAUCAUAACUUGGCCAAAACUUAUUUAUUUCAAAGUUAUAGAGAACUAAUCGGCAAAGUUGAAAUUUCAGAAUUAGAUGAUAGAUCGUGGCUACAAGUACAUCGAUAUGGUCUUUUUCACCAUGAUUCAAUGGAACCAUUACGCAAGUAAGUUCUAGAAUUUGAUAAAUAUUCAUCAAUUACAAUUUGUUUAUCUUCUAACAAAGUAAACAUCUUUUUAACAUAGUGAGUACAAACAAAUCUUGAGAUCUCAUCCACGCUCCCGAAGAUUACAACAUCGAGAGAUUAAUAAGUUAUUCACAAAAUCUUUUCAUGAAUGGUUAAGCCAAACAGUAUGCAAUUGAAGCUUUCAUUGACAAAUAAUAAUAUUUUCUCAUAACAUUUAUAAUUACUCAAUUUACCUUCGAUUCAAUAGGUUUGGAGUGGGAAUGACGUAAAUGACGAAGUUAAAUGGCUUUCUCAAGGUCCGAAUAGAGUAGUAAAAAGAUAUAGUGCCUUCCUCAUCAAUGGAUUCCGAUUUCAAGCAAAAUAUCGGGAGAGAUUGAGGAGAACUCAAAAUUGUGGAAUAGUUGUUAAUUCUUCUAUUACAAGUUAUGCUAGUGCAAGGGACAGUAAUCCUGUUGAGGGAAAUGUGGAGUAUUACGGACUUCUUACUGACAUUAUUGAGUUGGAUUACUAUGGCAAAUGGAAAGUUGUCUUAUUUCGAUGUGAUUGGGCUAACGUUAAUACUGCUCGUGGAAUUAAAUAAGAUCAAUUUGGUUUUACAAUGGUGAAUUUCUCUCGAUUGAUUCACAUUGGACAACAAUUGAUAAAUGAGUUGUAUGUAUUUUCUUCUUAAGUGAAACAAGUUUUUUACUCAAAAGAUCCAACUGAUAAGGGUUGGUACGUUGUACUCCGUAACAUCCCUAGAGACUUGUUUGACAUGGGCAAUGGAAGUAGAGAUGACAUCGACGAUAGAUCAGAAACUUUACCUUUUUCAGAACAAAACUUAAAUGAAAAUAUCCCUAGUACUAGUACACAAUUUCAAUGGGUUCGUCAAGAUGUUGAUGAAGAUAUUUACGAAUUAUGAUGUAGUAAGAUUUUACGAUUUUUUAAUUAUAUGUAAGAUUAUAAUUUAAAUAUUGGUCUUAUUAAAUAUUUCAACUAUUUUAUAUGUGUUGUUAUUGUUCUAAUUAGUUACUAAAAUUUCAACUAUUUUAUGUGUAUUGCAGAUAAAAUGCCUAGAAGAAGAUUGUGAGAUCUAAGUAUUGUUCAAAAUACUCCAAACUCGGAAGAAACAAAUAGUGAACAACUGACUGCUAUUGGAUCUUCGAAUGUUCCGAAUACACCUAACGAACUUGCAGAAUUUCAAAGUAUGUUUAAAUUUAAUUUACAUGCGUAAUGACUUUUAUUAUUGAUUUCUUUUUCAAAUUCUUAUAUUAUAAUAUAUCAUUUUUCAGCUGAAAGUGUGGGACGCGCAGUGGUCGAAGACAUACACUACUUAAAGAUUUAUACGAGUUAGAUCCUGUCGAGCGUGUCAAAGUAUGUAGAAACAGUUUUGGUCAGCCUGUUGGAUCAGAAGCUCGGCUUUUAGCAGAUAUUUGGGCAUUAUAGCACGAAAUGCCAAUAUGUUGCCUAUCAACUACGAGUCAUGGCAUCAAAUGUCAAUAUUAAGGUAACAAAACCUUAAUGUAAUUUAUAAUACUUUGGUUUAAGUUUCAUUUAUAUUACUUUCUAAACUUGUGUUUUUUGUAGGCGAUGUUUGCUUUAGAGGUCUCGGAUAAUUAUGUCAAGAAGGCAUUGGGAAAAAGGUGGAGAGACCAUAAAAUUACUUUAAAGAAAGAAAAUUUUUAAGACAAAAACAACCCUCGAAGAGAAAUUGCGAAAUGUCCCGCUGGGAAUGUUGAGGUACCAAUGGAAAGAUGCGGUUAGAUUUUGGAAUUCAAAGAAAUGAGAGGUAUUACGUACUUCCAAACUCUUAUAACUAUUUCGGUUUAUAGUAUUUACUAUAUACGUAAUAAUAAUUUCAUAAUGUGGGAUCGUGAACGAGUUGGAACAAGCAGCAGGCAAAAACAGAAAUUCACUCACAUAGCUGGGUCGAAAAGUUUUGUUUGUGUAGUUGAGGCCGAGAUUUUUUGAAUUUAUAAAUAGUGUAAAAUAUUUAUUACUUUCCAUUAAAUAAUAUUUUUACUACUAUAUUGUAGGAACUGUCGUCUGGUCAAAAAGUUAGACGCCUUCAACUUUUUGACAUUACAUAUGGGAAGAAAAAUGGAUCUCCUAUGACUUCUGAAGCUGCAGAAAUUAUGGUAUGUUUAGUUAAUAAAAUUUUAAUUAUUUUAAAUAUUUAUAGUGUUUAAUUAUAAUGGUUUAAUUCAUCGUUUGUAAUGCAAAUAAUGUUAAGUUAUGUUGCAUUUGUUUUUAUUAUAUAUUUCGUUUCUAACUCUUUGAUUAAUUUAUUAGAAGAAACUAAAGGAUAAAAAGGCAGAGUAUGAAGCGAUUACUUCGAGUGAUAGUUUUGUUAAUGCUCACGAAAUUGAUAAUCGGGUUAUUACUGAAGUUUUGGGUCCUGAAGGGUAUGGACAGGUUCGAUUUCAAGGAUCUUUUGUUAAUCCAACCCAAUAUUUUGGAUCCAGCUCGCAGCAAUACAUGCUUUCGGGGAGUCAAGCUCAAGUUGAAAUUCAGAGGUUAAGAGACCAGAUGACUCAGAUGCAAGCGAACACAGUUGAGCUAAUUACUCAACUUAAAGCGAAUGCAGCAUCGAGAGAAGCUGAGGUUCAAAGAAAAAAUGAAGAACUCAAGCUACAACUUAAAGAAGAGGUAGCAGCGAGGGAAGCAGAGCAGAGCAGAAAGUACGACGCACUCUAACUACAGCUUCAGAAUAUGAUGAAGAUGUUUCAGCAGUCGCAAAAUCUGCCAUCUUAGACUAUUGUAUGAAUAUUUUUAACAUUUUAGCUUUUAACAUUAUUGUAUUAUACUUCAUUUAUCAAUUUAUAUCAUAUAUCAUUCGUUGAAUUUGAAGUAUCAUUUAGGUUGCUGUUUUUGGUUGGUUUCUAUGUUACAGGAAGGGUUGCAUAUGGAUGAAAAUUGGAUGUUAGAAAUCUGCCAAAAUUAGUGGCGUUUUCAAUAAAAGCGCCGCUAAAGAAUAUGACAUUUAGCGUCGUUUUCUAUAAAAGCGCCGCUAAAGAACAUGACCUUUAGCGGCGUUUCUUAUAAAAGCCCCGCUAAAGAAUAUGACAUUUAGCGGCGUUUGCUAUAAAGGCGCCGCUAAAGAACAUGACCUUUAGCGGCGUUUGCUAUAAAAGCGGCGAUAAAGAACAUGACCUUUAGUGGCGCUUAUCUUUAAACGCCGUUAGAGGUUAUGAUCUUUAGUGGUGUUUGUGGUAAAAACGCCGCUAAAUAUCAUGUUCUUUAGCGGCAUUUAUGUGAGAAAAAAGUCACAAAAAAUAACGGCAUGGUCUAUAGCGGCAUUUUUUGCGGCUCUUGUGAAAGUGCCGCAAAUACUUUUAGCGGCGCUUAUAGGCCUAAAAAAUGCCGCUGAAAGCCUAUUUUGCUGUAUUGUUAGUUUGUUAAGUUUACUCUGGAUUAUACCAAUUUUUAAUUUAUUUAUACUUAUAAUUGUUUGAUUCUAUUUUAUGAUUACUCGAAUAAUUUUUAUUGUAAUAAUUUAAUAUUUAUAAUCACUCAAACAUAUAUUUAUAUUGUAGUUUAAAUACUUAAAAAAAUUUUCAAAUCAAAAUUUGCUACCCUCUUCCUUUUCCCACACAGAUAGGUAAUUCCUUUUCUAUUUUCUUUUUCUUUUUAUUAUAUUAAUACAUUCUAAAUAAACUAAAUAUUUUAUAUAUAUAUAAUACAAGCUCAAUUCAACAACUUAUAUUUACUGGUUUAGAUAAUAUAGUUGAUAAGUUUUAACCAAAACACCCAACUGAGAAAUUUUUGUCAAAAUAUGCCUUAAAUUUUCACAAAAAAUAAAUCAAAUAACGGGAGGAUGAAAAUGAAUUUAGGUUAGAAUAAAUUUAAAUAUAACCAACUCAUGAUUUAAGUAUUGUUGUAGGAAUUAGAUCGGAUCAACUGAUUGGUAUAUUGAUCCAAACAAAAAAAUUCAAUCUAUUUUUGAGCAAACACUUAGAAUCAAUUGAACUGGGGCAGAAAUCAAUUGUAUCGAUUUUAUAAUUUUUAAAGAAUUUUUUUUAUAUUUUUAUAAUUUUAUGACUUAAUAAUUUAUUUAAUUAAAACCAAAUCGACGAUGAAACCAAAAAUCGAUGUUGGUGUGGUUUUUAAAAUCAUAGAUUUAAGUACUUAUGACAUCAUGUUCUCAAAAACUCAAACCUUUAUCAACAUAUAGAAUCGAAUCGAAUAGCGUUUUCAUCUCCCAAGUUUCUAUACAUAAACUAUGAACACUGAAUUAAACAAUACAAAAAUGGUAUUCUUCUUCCACUGACAUUUGAUAUCGGCUUCAGAAAAGGCAAAAGACAAGAAUAAAGAGAUAAAACAAAAGAUUAAAUCAAUCCUAUAUCCUUGACUGACAUAAUUUACCUUAAAAACUCUAUAUUUUAACCAAUCCCACCUAUAUGAUUUUUCUGUUUUCCUAUACAUAAAUUAAAGCUUACUUGGAACCAAGUCAUUGUAUUGUAUUUCACGUAAUUGUUUGAAGCAGAUCCUCAUCUCCUCCAUCUGCAUUGAAGGAAUAGAUGUCGACCGGGGCCAUCGUGCAACCCAUGGCGUUCUGCUUGGUUCUUUUAUUACGGGAGGAGCCUCGGUGUUUGUCUAGAUAGAUUACAAUCACGGUGAUAUCGUCGUGAAAAUGGCGCCUUAUCCCCUUUUCGAUUUUCUUGAUGUCACUGUAUCUCAUCUCCCUUUUCUUUGCAACUUCUUGAAGUGCAGCUCUUACCAAUCUCUUGGCAAUACCCUGCAAGCAUUCAAGCAAACAAAUAUCAAUACCGAAAUGCGUUGCAUUUCCAUACGUUUCAUUAGGUUAAUGGAAGAACACGAAUACUCACGGCUCUCGGGUUUUUGAAAACGAUGUUUACAGCAGCUUCAUCACUCAACUGCUCCCAUAGGCCGUCUGAUGCAAAGAUGAGGAAUUGAUCCUGGGGCUUCAGCUUUCUAAUAAGGAUCGAGGGUUCUGCUGUAAUAACCGGCCUUUUAAGAGGAACGGGGUUUCCGAACUGCUGGAAGAUCGGAUCUCUAUAAAACUCAGGUUUCUUCAGGUAAACAUCACCUAUAGAUCUUGACACCUGAAAUAAGACGAACAAAAAUGGCUCAGACCAGCAUGACCACUCACAUGCUCAAAGAUCAUGUAUUAAUCAAUCAUCUCCAGUUCUACAAUCCAAUGUACGAUAAAAGCUAAUGCAUCUUAUUCUCUCGAUACUGAACGGAUCGAAGUAUAAAGCUCAACUUGCCUACUAAAGUAAAGGGGAACAACAUCACAAAAAGAGAAGAAAAACAUAAAAACGAGAGAGCAAUGAUUCCCUGCAGUUACAUAAGCCUAGCUUUAUGCUUCAGGGGCCUGCAUUUGUCCAUCUCAUGCAUACAACGCAUACUAUAUGGAAAAUAGCAGCAUGAAACAGUACUGGAAAUCAGACCAAAAUAUUCUUGGAAAAGUCGAAAAACUCAGAAUUAUAACCAUUUUUUAGAAUGAACUUUCAUUCUAAUGCACAAUGUAUACAUCCAUAAUUAUAUUAUACCUCUCCAUCAAGCAAAAAGAAACAAAUGGGUUGCAAGCAAUGCCUACGAAGAGGAAGUUAAUUGGCAACUAUUUCUAGAAUCAACACAUUGAUCAUUCCUCAAGCAGACUAGUUUUGAACUAAACGAUUAUAAAUCAACUUGUCAAUAAAAUUGUACCUGGAUUAUGCCCUUAAUCCUCCAAACUCCGUGGGUGUAAACCACUAUAUGUGAGUCAUCUGGAUGAAGUUCCUCGACCUCCUUUCGAACUUCCUCAACUCCAACAUUAUGAUCAGUUGACAACCUCUCUGCCACUACUGUGUUUUCCUUAUCCCCCGAAGCUUUCCUGCCAAGAACAGCUCUCGAGUCACCGAGAUUUGCCACGUAUAACACAUCAUUCGAAAUUGCACCAACUAGACAGCAUGAUCCAACCGAAGCAAUUUGAGGCCUCACAGGCAAUGAUCGCUUCACCAAACGCAAAAACUCCUCUUCAGUGGCAUUGAAUGCCUUCUUUAUCACAUCUGCAGAUAAUCCCCCUUGUUCUGUAGCAAAUUCUACAAUGAAUAAAGAAAAAAAAAUUAAGGGUCUCCAUCAAUCUUUUUUAGAAUCCAAGUGCAUGCUUAUCACUGAAAAGGAUGCAAAACAAAGAAAAAUAAAUGACCUGAAAAAUGCCAAAACUUGAACUACACUUACUAAUUAUUCUGAAAAAUUCAAGUCCAAACAACCCCAAGUAGAUACAAAUUUAGACAAAUAGUUCAUAUUCUCUUUUCCCAUCAAAACAGACAUAGUACUACAUGACUAUGGAGCGGGGCAAGAUAGAUAUUGUCAAAUUCAUUACUGUUCCAUUGUUGGCAUGAUCUGCCUCGACCCCACUCUGCUUCGCCGUAAAUGUUAAAACUUGAAUAUCAUUACUUUUAAUAUGCAUAAUCUAUCAAUACCUCACCUAAUAUAUACAUUUUUACUCGUUUUAAAAGCUAAAUAAAUAAGAAUAAGGCAAAUAUCAAAAUUAAGUGCCCCAUAGGUCCCUCUUUUACUGUUAAAAAUUAGAAAAAGAAAGUCUAUUUGGAGUCAUCAGUUCGAAAUCUAUCAAACUAAAUACAUAUUUGAUGAUUCCAUAGACAGCUUAUGAUUUUCCUGACAAGGUCGUAUCCAUAUACAUACAUGAUCACAUGUUCAUUCAUGUCAUACAUACAUACAUACAUACAUACAUACAUACAUACAUACAUACAUACAUACAGAAUAGAAUGGGAAAAAAGGAAUGUUGCAAUAAAGAGGGAAAAAGGGAAUUACUGUGGAGAAAAGGGAAGAGAUGUUUGUUAACAAAACGGGAAGCUUCGGGACCGCCAUGACCAUCGUAGACGCCAACGUAGGUAGCAAAAGGAGAGGCCAAGACUUGGCUUUGAUCUUCGAGGCAGUUGUUAGCCUGCACGACGGCGAUGGAGAAAUCACCGGAAGCGUGGGGUUUAAGGUCAGCGUGCCACAUGAGAGCAUCCCCACCAGCUCUAACGCCAAGACAACGUUCGAGCGGCCUGGAAAGGGAACGUAACAUCAUCAUCAUCGUGUUUAAAAAAUAAUAAUAAUCCCUUUAUAGGGAAUUUGAUUAAAUGAAAACCUCUUCGAUGGUUUCAAUGGGGGGUUUCACUUUGGGGGAAGAGGAAAAUGGGAAGAUAUUAAGAGGGAAAGAGAGAGUAGAAAGUGGGGUAAAGUGAAUGGAAAAGAAAUGCCGCGUAAAGAGAGGAAGAUGAUGAUGACCAACGACCCCCGAUACUUGCUGUAAUUACUUCCCACUCUACGCGUUAACUAAUACCCUUUUUCUUCUUUUUUGACUUUUAAACCCAAAUCCUUUUUUUAUUUUUAAUUUAUUGAACGGAGAAGGUUAGGUCUAAUUUAAUAUUUCAAUUUUUAAAGAAUCGGAUCGGUGGUUGAAUUAUUCUCGAUUUAAUCUGUUAAUUUAGUUUAACUUAGAUUUGUUCAGGUGGUUCGAUUUGAAGAUUUGUUCGAAAGAGGAGAGAAUUUGGAUAAAAAUAUAAGCUUAAAAAAUAAAUUUUAAUAAAAAAAAUAAGGUACAUUUUUUAAAUGGGUCUCAAUAGAUCCAAACAAGAUAUACAAAUUUCUAAUAGAUCAGAUAAAAUCGCAAAGCAAAUAAUCCCAAGAUUCAAUUAUUCAUUAACUACCCGUAUAUCUUAAGAUUAAGAAUUAAAUAUUUUUUUAGUAUUUUUUUUUUUUGCGAGGAGCUGGAUGAGAAGAAACUCUCAUGUCCAGUUCUGUAGUAGAGAUGGAAUUCAUAAACAACAACCAUCAACUAUAACCCCAAAAGAACUCGAUUUCGUAAACGAGUCUCAAUAUUUUUUUGUUCGGGCCCAACCUAACUUGGCUCGAAUUUACCAAAAAAAAUUGUUAUGCUUUGUCACUAUUUUGCUGUUAUUUCGCUAUUAUAUUGUUACUAUUUUAUUAUUUUUGUUUAGAUAUUAUAUAACUAUUUUUUUAUUAUUGAUUUUGUUACUAUUUUAAAGGCAUUUGCUUGCUAAGUUGCACGUAUCUUAGUGUUAGUUGAGUAUAAAUAUUUUUUAAAAUUUUAUUUUCAAUAUAAAUAUUUUUAAAAAUUUAUUUUCAAUUUAUUGGGAAACAUUUAUUUUAAUAUUUUUAGUCUAUUUAAUGUAUUAUAUUUUUUAGAUUUGUUUUUAUAUAAAAAUAAAAAUAUAAAAAAAUUAAUACAAGCAAGUCGGGUCAGGCAUGGGUUUUAGCGUUUUUAUCCAGGUCAAGCUUAAGUAAAAUUUUAGGCCAAUUUUUCGAGUCAGACUCAGGCCUAGAAAAUAGGCCUAAAAUUUUAUCUCGGUCCAGCUGACCCAUGGAUAGCUCUAGUUCAGCCCCUUUGUCUGAAUUGAUAUAUCAAUCGAUUUAUUGGUUCAACUAGUUCGAUUAGUUGAUUUGAUUUGAUUCAAAAACACUAAGGGUUAUUUCAAGUUUAACUUAAUUUGUAUUUGUGCCGUUAGUUUGAAUUGUUUUGAUUUUAAAUCAUUCAAAUUCGACACUUAAUUUUUUGAGUCAAAUCUUUUUGGGUCUAUUUCAAAUUAUAAUUUUAUAAAAAGAAAGUGAAUUGAAUAAUAUCAAUGUUAUUAAAUUGGGUCACAAUUAAUAGGCGUACUAGAAUCUAAUUACAAAUAUAUAUCCAUAAGACAAAACCAAAAAUAAAGGAUUAACAUCUGACAAAGGAUUGACAAUGCAUUGUCCACAAAGUUAUCCACAAAUUUAAUUAGACACAAAACAAGAUAAACACUUACUAAAUGUAUGUAUAUAUGAUUAAAAUAGAGGGGUAACGUGAAUUCCGUAAGUUAACCUAACGAUUAAGAUACUCAUCGUUUCAAGGGUGAUUUGGGAUUGAGUCGCGUUAAUCACACCCUUAAUAGGGAUUUGCCCUCUUCUAGAAAAUGGAGGACUAAAAGUUUGAAAUCUUAUUUAGUAUUUACAGCCAUGAUUAAUUCUCUUUAUGAUCUCCACCCAUACAAUAAAUGUGAAAGGGGUAGCAGUAUAAAUAACAUGUCUUUAUAGGGGGCCGCCAUUCAAGAAUAUCUUACUUCCUCUGAACCUGACAGUGAGGCAUGGAUAGCAACUUACCUAACACAUGUAUCAAAUUCAACACUAAAAUUAAACUCAUAUACCAAAUUGAAAUUUAAAAAGAAAAACUCAAAUACAAAAUUCGACAUUAAAAUCAAACGGAAGUACCGAAAAACAUUCAUAAACCUUUUCCUUUGUUUUUGCACCCGUCAAAAUUCCAAGACUUACAUAUCUCUAAUUAAGAGCAUCAUCAUUUACAAAAAUUAAAAAAUUAAUCCCUCUACUUUAACUUGUUAUAAUUUGACCCACGUAAGUUAUAACAAUCGAAAAGUUAAUCUAAUUAAGUAAUAUUGUUAAACCUUAUUAUUGGAUUGUUUAUUUGGAAACCAGUAAUUUAACAACUUAUAUGCAACAAAUUAACAAAACUCAUUUGUUCAAGUUCAUGUUUUGAAUAACACCUGGACUCACUUUCCAAUUUUCAUAAGCUACAAUGACUAAAUUUUGACAAAUUAAAGUAGAGGGACCAACUUCUCAAUUUUCAUAAAGUAAGGGAUGAAAAUCAUAAUUAGACCAUGUAUAUGUUCUAUCGCGUAAGUUGGGGAUUGUUUUAUAGUAUACUUCUACAGUAAGGACAGUCCCCACACGUUCUGAGCCAAGGAUCUAAGCAAGCAAAGUGAAACCUGUGCCCACACGGCAGCUGAGUAAGCACAUCUCCUUCUCCGAAGCUUUCAAGGCAUAUACUGCAAUCUCUUGAUUCCCUUGAUGUCUUUCUUUCAACAUUGACGUCUUGGCUGCCGAAAAUUUCCAGUGGCAAACGGUCCAGAGCUUCCUGAGUAAGUCCAGGAGGCUUCUUGUUUGUUUCUCGUAACAAUUCGAACCUUUCUGCUUCAGAGGUUAAUGGGGAACCCCUAGCUGCCAACCCUGUAGAGAGUUCACUUAUGAUCCUAAAAUCAUCGCCCGUUACAUGCUCCCGGUGGUAAGCAUUAGGUGGAGCUCUAUUGCUUCGCCUGAAGAAAACAACAGGAAGAAACCGUAAUGAGAAGGAAAAGAAAAGAUGUACAAAAUGUUUAAAUAGCGGUUAAUGCAAGACCUAACAUAUAUGUGUCCAUUAUUGAAUGCCACACCAAGUAAAAUUCAGGAUCGAGUGGUCCACAUGCUUCUCUCAAGCAGUAGAUGGUAGUUAGGAAACGAGUAACACUAAUUCGCUGUGUACAUGAAGUGGUAGCAAAAGUGGUCUGGCUAGUCAUAGUGGCUAAUGAUGUUACUACUUAGAACCUAUGUUACUCAGACUCGGGCAUGGGUUUCAGAUAUGGAUAUGUAUCCAAUACAGGUAUGAUUACUUUUUCUAAGUUUUUCCAUAUAUUUAGAAGAUCCUUGGAGGUCAUAUCCUCGUAUUUGUGUGUCGGACACGAGUGAAAUGAAGAGUCCAAGCAACAUAGCUUAGAACCACUAAUAUUACCAUAGAAUAGGAAGCACCAGCAGUGGGACUGGACCAUAUUGAUAGUUAGCAAUGCGAGAACAACAGGCACUAAUGGGCAGAAAGCACCAAUAACAGCAGUGGGCCUGGAAAUUAAGGUACUACUGGUAGGUAAGGAGUGACGAAAGCAAUAUCAGCUUGAAUGUAUUAGCAGAAAUGGGACAGAAAUUUCAAGCAUAAAAACAUAAAUUCAAUCUAUUCAAGAAUAUAUAAAUAUAUAGAGAGAGAGACUAAAUUCAACUUAAACGAUGAGACUAAAUUCAACUUAAACAUUUUCAAGGAAAAAAGAAAAAGCCUGCCAAAACAUGAUUAUGUUAGGCAAUUCCAUAGAAGAAAGUUCAAAUUCACUAGUGACAACCCACCCGACUGACCAGCUGAAAAGUCCAUGGUAAGUUAGAAAAUAGUUUGGACUGAGUGAAAUUAGUCUCAACAUUAACUGACUACAAUCCCUAACAGCUCUAUCAUAUGAUACAGUAUCUCUAUUCUUACGGCUAAACCAAGUCAGACUCCUAGUGCCCCUAAUACAAUACUACAUAUUUAUCAUUUGGAUUCACUAAUAAUAAGGUAGCACAAUGAACUGCAAGGCACUGAAUCUUCCUACAGGUUACGAUGCAAAUUGCUCAUAUGAUAGACACUUCUUUUGAUCAUAUUGCACCCUCAACAGAUCCACAAAAUCAAAGUUCAAGAGCAAAAUCAUUCUGAAUUUAGGUAAAACUUUCACAGACACAGAGUUCCACAUGAUUUGUCUAUCCUAUCAUCAAACUUCAGAAAUAAGUAAUAGAGAAGAGAUGUGCUGUGCUGUCUUUAAAAAAUGAAAUUUGUGACAGACCAAGAAUAGUGGGAUAAAUUUGGUCCAACUAGAGUAGCAAAACAAAUUGAGUGCCACAGGCAAGUUCACCAUCAAUGAUAAAAGUGGCUUCCAAUUGGUGUCAAAGAUCAUGCAGAUAAGAAAGAACAUGAUUCAAUAGCUAUUAUAUUUACUUGUUCUUGCAGUUUGACUAGUAAUAAUGCUGUACAUAAUACAUGGACAAGAAAUGCAAACACUAAGAGUGGCAAAUUUGCAGAGAGCACUAGGUAACCUGUUUGCAGAAACAGACACGCCUCUUAGUCUUUCAACAAGCCUUGCUCUUGCAAGCAGCACAGCUCCGGGAAGCCUUUCAUUUGCUCUCAAACUUUGCCUGCUUGAACUGCUAACACCAUCUGCAUUUAAUCCAUAGCUCGAACUGAGCUCGCCAGUACCUUCAUCAAACCCUUCUCUAGCAAGCCUCUCACUUGAUCUCAAACUUUGCCUUCUUGCAUUGCUUACACUGACUGCAUUUAACCCAUUGCUCGAUACAAGCUCGCUGGUACCUUCAUCAAACCGCACUGAUGAACGCUCCUGAAAAAGUAAUAUCCAAAUAUAAGCGAUUCAGGCGAGGAGAAAUAAAUUACGUAGACGAGGUAAUAAUAUCAAACUUCCUUGUUUAUUCUUGUAUAUGUGGCAAAAACUUACUGCAAGUGAGCUUAGGCUUUGCUUGGUACCAAAGACGGAAACAUGGAAAAUUUGUUCAUCAAAUGUUAAGAUUCAUAUCCACCUUAUUACUUUGUAACUUAACCAUCAGAUAAACAAUUUUCCAAUUCACUCCUUUCCAUCCUUCAUAACAAGCAGAGCCUUAGGGUUUAGAAAAUUGUCAAGAAAAUACCUAUUCUUCAGUAAUUUCACUGAUAAAUUUAGCUUAAAACUACUAAUUUUCGGAGCAAAGUUCAAUAUUGGAGCAUAAAACAGACAACGAAUAAAGUACCAAUAAAUUGGUUGAAAAUCCAAUUUUUAAAUUAAAAAUAAAUAAAUAAAAGUGCGGUUUAUUUUCCCUUCCAAAAAUAAUACUUAAUCCACCCCCAUUUUUCCUUUAAUUUCUCUUUUUUUUCUCAGCAAUAAAAUAAAAACAAAUACCUAACAAGAAAUAAAUAAUUUGAAAAAAAAAGGUAAAAGAGAAAUUGAGCGUACAGAGAGCGAGGAAGCACGGGAGCUGAAGUGGCGCACGUGGGGAGACCGGCGGAAGGAAUCACCGCCGUCCAAAUCAUGCCUCUGAUUGUGAUGACUGAGAUGAUUCCGGCGAUGGUAAUUCCGUUCAAUUGAGGACCCAAUCCCUAAAUCCGGAUCGGGUCGACCCACUCUUGACCUUCGUGUGUAGAAUAACUCCGAAGCGCUUGUCAUCCAACUAAAACCCCCAAAUGGUGUUUUGAUCUGAUCUUACCAAUUAAAAUUUAUUUUUAAUUUCUCCAAAAAAACAAUUAAAUAAACAUGAAAAUUGUAAUUUGGAUUAAGAAAUAAAGGAGAGAUGUUGAUGAGCCCUACGAAGAAACGCGGGAGAAAUUCCUGCGAAUGAAAAUCGAUAGCCUUAGCUUCAAAGAAAAUGAAUGGAAAGGGAUGUGUGUUUUUUAACCCUAAAUGGUUUAAUUCCGGUUUUAGUCCCCCUCCUAUGCUAAAAUUUAAAAUUUAAUCUAUAUAUUUUAAUUUUAUAUAAUUUCAUCCUUGAUUUUAAGAAAUAAUAUUUGAUACACCGCUAAUACAUUAUCAUCGAACAAUGACAUGAUACUUCAGGAAAAACAAAAUUAGUGAAAGACUUAUCAAUAAAUAUUAACAAUUUUAUUUAGUGUUUUGAUUUUUAAAUUUCACAUUUCGAAUUUUAGAUAUAUUUAAAUAAAAUUAUUAAUAUUUAUUUAUAAGUCAUUCAUCAUUUUUUAUUUCAUUAGCAUUGAAAUGUCGUGGUUGACGAAACUUAUACAUCAACGAUAUAUCAAAUAUUUAUUUUUAUUUUUAUUAAUUUCUAUCAUUAAAACGAUGAUGUGAAAUCUUUUAUUGAAAAUUUUGUUAUGGUCAAGGUAGCCAUAAUAUAUGUUUUUUUAAUACAAAUUCUCGAUAACAAUUAGUAAUAUUAAGAAUAUAAAAAAAGUAAAUCAUGUUAAAUUAAUCGGUUUAAGGGUAUAAAAGGUUCUCAAAUUUAAAAAAAAACAAUUAAGUCUCUGUUUUUUCACUCGAGUAUUUUAACUUUCAAAAAUGCAUAAAAAGACUCUCAAACUUUUUCAAAAAAAGCAAUUAAGCCCAUACUUUUUUUUACGCUCAAUUGGGCACUUGAACUUUCAAAAUACAUAAAAAAAAAAUGCCUUCAAACUUUUUCAAAGAAGCAAUUAAGCCCAUGCUCUCUCUUUUUUUUUUUUUUGCACUCAAUUGGUUGGGUAAUUGAAUUGUCAAAAUGCAUAAAAAAAUAACCUUUGAUCGUUAACUUUAAUAUUUGACCGUUAAAAUUAACUGUCUCUAAUUUUUUUCCGUUAAAGUCAUCCUUUGUCACAACCACGACAUGACAUGUGGAAAAACAAUUAUAAAAAAUAAAAGUUAUAAAAAAAUAUUAAAUUUUAAUAAAAAUAUAAAGUUUAUUAAAAAUUGUAAAAUUUUAUAAAAAUAAUAAAUAAUUAUAAAAUGUAUCAAAAAGGCCAUUUAACCAUCAAUUUUAACCGUUGACUGUUAAAGUUAACAAUCCCUAUUUUUUUUCUAAUUAAAGUCAUCACGUAUCACAACAUAGUGUAACAUGUGGUAAAAAAUGAUAAAAAAAUAAAGAUCAAUUAAAGUUAUAGAAAAAUUAUAAAAUGCUUCUUUAAAUAUUAUAAAAUGCUUCUUUUGAUACGAUAAUUUUUAUAUUUUUUAAUGAAUUUUUAUUUCUUUACAUUUUUUAUAAUUUUCUUACAAUUUUAUAAAAUUUUACCAUUUUUAUAAUUGUUUUUUAUUUUUAUAAUUUGUUAAUAAUUUUUAAUAUUUUUAUAUUUUUAUUAAAAAUUAAUAAUGUUUAUAACUUUUAUUGAUUUUUGUUUUUUAUCAUUGUUUUGCCACAUGUCACGCCAUGUUGUGCCACGGGAUGACUUUAACUGAAAAAAUUAGGGUCAGUUAACUUUAACGGUUUGACUAUUAAAGGUAACGAUCAAAUGGUAUUUUUUUUAUGCAUUUUAACAAUUCAAGUACCCAAUUGAGUAUAAAAAAAAGGUUUAAUUGCUUUUUUCUGAAAAGUUUGAGGGCUUUUUUGAUGUAUUUUGAAAGUUUAAAUACUCAAUUGAAUGCAAAAAAAAGCAGGGGUUUAAUUGCUUUUUUUUUAAGUUUGAGAGUUUUUUUGAUGCAUUUUGACAAUUCAAAUACCUAAUUGAGUGCAAAAAAAAAAGAGAGCAGGGGUUAAUUAAUUUUCUUGAAAAAGCUCGAAGACUUUUUACACCCUUAAGCCAUUAAUCAACCGACUGAGUGAUUGAAAUUUGAUGAUUUGGGAAAAUAUCCGGUGAACAUCAAUUAGAGAAAUUAAAUCUGAAUUUCAAUAUAUUAGAGGGACUAAACCCAGAAAUUUACCGUGAAAAAAAAAAGGUAUAUUUUUAUGUGUUAGUUGAAAGAGUAGCAUUUAGAUGUAACCACGCGUUAAACAAAGUGUUCCAUUACAUCAACGAUAGAAUUUCUUUUCCUUCAACAAGAUUUUUUUGCGUUGACUGUUGACCAUGGAAAAACGAUAAAUCAAAUUAUUUAUUGAAAGUGAUAUAUAUUCCUUCCAAGAGAAUUCCUUUCUUACUAUCGAGAGUUUGAUUUUCACCGUGGGUAUCGAGAGUUUUAUCUCUUAAUUAACCUACAGAAUGGAAUAAAUUUAAUUAUUGGGUUUACUCUGAUAGAUACCUUGAGAAAUAAAAUAAAAAAUCGAUAUUAAAUGAAAUAGACAUAAUAAAUUUCUAAGCUUUGGUGAAUAUAAAUAGAAAACUAAAUGAAUUUUGGUUUAGGUAAAUUUUGGAUUCAGAUUAAAUUUAAAUUUUGGUUAAUUCUUAUUCAAGUCAAUUAAGUUUAAUUGUAAUUUCAGGUUAUAAUCACUUUGAGUUUAAGACAUUUUAAGUUAUUUAUUGGGGUCAUGUCUAGUUAUUUAUUUGAAUUGUUUCAAGUUUGGAUUAAUUUGAGUCAAUUUCAUAUUUAGGUUAGAUAAGUCAAUUUUCAAGAUAUGAACUAGAGUUGUCUAUGAGCCAGGUCAUCUGGUCUGGCCUGAAGGCCCAUCCGAAAAAUGGAAGGAUUUUAACAAAAAAAUAUAUGUCAAAAAAUGAGCUUGGACAAAAAAUAAGGCUCGUUUAGAAAAUGGGUCGGACCUCGAGUAACGUUUUUUUUUACCCUGGCUUUACCCAGAUUUGCAAUUAAAAAAUUUGUUUUUUUGCUAAAAUUUCACUAUUAUGUUGUUUCAAUUUGUUGGGAAACAUUCAUUUUAAUAUUUUUAGCGUAUUAUAUUUUUAAAAUUUUUUAUAUAAAAAAUUAAUACGGCCAGGCCAUGCCCGGGUUUUAGCAUUUUUAUCUAGGUCGGGCCUGAGCAAAAUUUUAAGUUCAUUUUUUGGGCCAAUUUGAGCCCAAAAAUUUAUCAGAACCCGACCUAACUCGAUCCAUGGACAACUUUAUAAAUAACUAUUUAUAUAUAUAAAUAUAAAUAUAUAAAUUGUCCAUGAGCUAUUUACUAUUUAGAGUAUUUAAAUAUGUCGAUUGAGAUUUAAGUUCUUUUUAUUCUGAGAGGUAGAAUAGCAUAAUUCAGCUAACGUAUAAUGAUCAUAUACCUCUAAUGCAUUAUAUGUCUCAUUCUUCUAUCAUUUUAGGGAGUUGAUGAUUAUUCAUAGCUAUUAUAUUGAUAUCAAAAAAGAGUUCGACCCAAUAACCAAAUACUUUUGCCAGAUUGAUUUUGGAUUAGAUUAAUAUGUUUUUGGUCAAUUUGAAUUUUAAAAAAUUUCAAAUUAUUUCAAUUUCGAUUAGUUUUAACUUUGGAUCAAUUCGUAUUCAAUUCUAUUUUAGGCUCAGAAUUAAAUGAAUCGAGGUAUUAAAUUUAAUGAUUUGUACAUACAUUUUGUGUAAAUCAUUUAAAUGUAUAGUUUAUUAUUAACAAAGUAAAAUUUUAUUUAAAAUAUUUUAAAUACCACUCUAACACAAUUACAUAAUUCAUAGAUUAUAGAUUACACUAGCAUUGAUAGUUGCAGCUUCUAAUUCCAAAAUAUUUUAUUCAAAUUUCAUAAAAAAACCCCUUCCCCUGUCUCCAUGACUAAUUUUGUUUGAUCAUCACAUAUUUGCAUGGGAAUAGUGUUCAUCAUGAACCGAAGACUCCGGUUUAUCAACACCGUCGACGCUUCGAACCCAGUAACUUGAACUGAAAGAAGCCGCCCGGUCCGGAACGUCAUCCAUCACCCAUUCAUGGCCUUUGGGGAAAUAUAUCCCACUCUUUGGAUGUGGAACCCAACUCGAUGAACCUUUUAUAUCGUUGUUACUCUUGCACUUCUUAUUGAUCUCUCGAUCUGCGCCUGCAAUUUUGCUCAAUGGUCGCUCAACGCGUUUUGCUUCCCUACACCCGAAUAAAGUUUCCAAAAGUCAAAUAUGUUUAUUAAGUUCAUAAUGAUUUGCUUCUAAAAUUUGUAUUCUUGUAUGGUUUUUUUGGUAAAAAAUUUAAUUUUUGGCUUUUCUAAAUACAAAACAAAUUUCAAAUUUCAUUUUUAACUAAACAAAAACAUCUCAAAACUAUGACUCAAACUUUAAAACGAUCUCAAAUGUUCUAAUUGAAUCCUUAAACAUAGAGCAUACUUAAAACACGUCUUAAAUAUGCUCUGCAUCAAACAUAAACUAACAUUUAACACCCAGAUAGACAUGACAAAAAAAACUUAGUUGGUACGAUACUAAUAUUUUUAGGACCCAAUUAAACCGUUUUAAAAUUUAAGGACUAAUUUUUAAAAAAAUCAUUCUAUAGAUUAAGAAAGUCUGUUGUAAUCAACCCAAAGAAUAACGACAACAUUACGUACCUUAGCAUCAAAAUCUUGGUUUUGGUAAAAGCAGCUCUUCCCAUGCAAUGCAGCUCUUUGAAACCCCUCAAAUUGUAUAAUGCAGCUCUUCAAAGGACUCCAAUGCAAUUAUCUAGGAUUUGAUCGUUUGAUUUAUAUAAUGCUUUCGAAAGUGCAGUUUUUGUACUUUAAAUUGUAUCCGAACGAAUGAAUAAAGGUUUGAGGAAUAAGUUCGAUUGCGAAGGUCUUCUCAAAUUUAAAAAUUUAGAAUAUGCUAUUUCGUAAUUUCCUCUUUUUAUUUUUAUUUUAAAAAAUUUAAUCAUUUUAUAUUUUUCGGAUUUAAGUAUACAGGUCCAAUUAUUAUUAAAAGUGAUUUGAUUAAAAAAUUAAAAAAUAUUUCGAAUUUCGAGUUAAUCGAAUUGAGUUGUUCGAUUUUUUUGAAUCGACCCGAAUAAGUAAUUCGAUUUCGAGUCGAGUUAAAUUUUACAAUUCGAAUAACAGAUUAAUGUAAAUACUCAUUUGGUCCCUGUCAAUUUAAAAAAUGGACAAAUUUGUCUCUCUCAACAAAGUUUACAAAAAAAAAUUCAAAAUAAUUUUCAAAAAGUUUUAAAUAAUUUUUAAAAUUCAAAAUUUAUAUUUAAAAAAUUAUAAAAAUUCUAAAGAAUAUAUAAAAAAAACUUAUUCUUUUUAAAUAAUAAUUUUUGGGAAAAUUAACUAUUUAAGUUUAUCAUACUAAAAUAUCUUCUUUUUUUCUUAUUUUGCUUUGAAAAAGUUUUCAAAUUUAUGUGCUCUAACAUUGAAUUAGUUAUAUUGUAACAAUAUUUUAAUUUGACAUAUUUAAUUUUUUAAUUUCACUCGAUUCAAAAAAAUUUCUAAUUGAGUUAGUAUGACAAAAUGAGACUCGUCAACUCGAUUCACUCGAAACUUUUUCACUUCAUUCGAUCGAAUGCUCACUCCCAACUAACAUCAUAAAAAUUCGUUUGUUAAAUUUAGGUUCGUUACAAUAUUAAUUUUUUAUUAUAUGACUAUCAAACUGGAAAAUAAAGAGAUAAAUAUAUAUUUUUGGUACUUAUGUUUAGCUUUGAUCUUAAUUUUCCUACUUACGUUCUUUUUUCAAAUUGGUACUUAUGUUGUCUUUAAUUACACAAAAUGGUAUCAAAUUUAGUAUAUGAUAUAUGUCGAUGAUGAUGUCAUAAUAACAUUUGGGAAAUUAUAAAAAAUAUAAAAAAUUCUAAUGUUUGAUACCAAAUAAAAAUAAUAUAAAUUUUUUAUAUUUUCAUAUUUUUAUAAAAAGGUAUCUUUUUUAUGAAAAUAUAAAAAUCAAUUUUUUUAUAAAAAUCAUUUUUUAUAAUUUUAUUAAAAAUUUAAAUCAAAAUCAUGAAAAUAUUCAUGAAGUUACAAAAAAGAAUUACAAUUUCUUACGUGAAAUAUAUAUGUUGUAUUUCUAGAAAUUUUUAGAUUUGUAAUAUCUUUAAAUUUUUGGAUAAUGACAUUAUCAUCAUCACAUGUCAAAUGAUCAUUGGACCACAAAAUAAAAGUUAGUAUCAUUCAACUUAGGUACCAUUCUGUGUAACAGUAGUCAAACAUGGGUACCAAUUUGAAAAAAAAUGAAUAUUGAAAUCAAACAUAUGUACCCAAAAAUAUAUUUACUUUUUUUACUAAAAUGGUUUAAAUUAAAUUAUUAUUUUUUAAGAGGGGUCAAAAAUGAAAAUUUUCAUUUAAAAAGAAUUAAAAUAUUAAAUUUUAGGAGGGGCUAAGAUGCAAUUCCAUUACCAAGGAAGCAAAGCCUCUAACUGCCCUGAGUUCGUCAUUGUCAUUAACAAUUUACGUCAUGAACGAAGUUUAGCGCGAAGUUUGGGGACAAAUUGUGGCCUUGACCCUCUUACAUUUAAAAAAUUCAAUUUAAUCUCUUUUAGCCCAAUUAUUAAGGGGAGGUCAACUUCUUUAAAAGAAGUUGCCGAAGUAUCAUUCAUUAAGGCUGGCGAAUUCCUCAAUAAAUCGGUAUUAUUUCAAUUGAAAUUUUGUCUCCUAACUCUAUCGAGAAUUCAAGUGCUAAAAGAAUUAACGGGUUCACAAAACAAAUGUACAUUCUGUUACUCCAAAUAAACGAGAAUUAACAAAUUUCUCCCCAAAAAAUCCGCCUCCUCUCGUUACCUCUUUUUCAAAAGUAAAUCUUAAUUCGCUCAGGGGAUUUGGAAUAUUGAGACUUUUUUAGUGAAAAGAGUGGCAAAUUGGUGUGACACCUAAGGUCACUUUUAACAUAUAGCUCUAAAUUUUUAGAAACAUUGUGAAUCGUUACUUCAGCAUAUGCCUCUUGUUUUUUCCCUUCUUUCACCAGAACAUAUUCAUAUUCAAUGCAAAUAACUUAUCUCUUACACAUUUGAUUGUUGGUUAAAUUCGAGUUUUAGUCCCUAUAUUAUACUUAAUUUAAACUUUAGUCUUUAAUGUGACGUAAUCUAACUUUCUUACUGUUAUCGGUGUUAUUCUUUAGUCUAAAUCCCUAACAUCAACACAACUCGAAAUUCAUUAUAUCAUUUAAACAUUAAAAUUAUUUAUUUAACUUGUGAUUUAAAUAAAAAUUAAAUUAUGAAAUAUCCACGAUAUGGAUAAAAAAAACAAAAUUAUGUGUCAAUUAUAUUUGUAAAAAAAAUGAAAUUUUAAUUACAAUGAUAAAGUUCAAAUUAACUUUAUAUAAUGCAAUGAUGUUUUAGUCAUUGUUCAAUUGAAUUAGUGCCUAAUAACUCGUAACACCAAUUUAAUUAAUUAUGAAUAACAUUAAGUUUUAUUAUCUUUCUUUCUUUAAUAGAUUACGGUCGACUACUUAAAAAAAUUACAGUUAAUUAUUAUUUUAUAAGGUAAACUAUCAAAAUAGUCACUUUUGUUUCUUUCAGGUUACAUUUUAGUCACUUAUGUUUAAAAUGUUAAGUUUUAGUCACUUACGUUUAUCGUAUUGUAACAUUUUAGUCACUGAGCGUUAAUUACCGUUAGCAGUGUAACAAUAAAGCUAAUGUAACACGUUAAAUCAUCAAUUCAAACGAAAAUUUUAAGUUAAAUUAUAUAAUUGGUCCCUAUAUUUUUUUUGAGCAAUUUAAUUUUUUUAUUUUAUAUUCUUUGAAUUUUUUUUAAUUUUCCGUUCUCUUCUGUUUCUCCCUCUAUUUUCCUCCGUUCUCCGUCUCUUUUAACUUAAUUUUUCUAUGUUUUUCAUUUCUUAAAAUUUAUUCAUUUUUUUCUUUUAUGUAUUUUUUCUACGUUAAAAGAUAUGGAGAAGGGAUGAAAAUAGAGGAAGAAGUAGAAGAGAAUGAAAAAAAAAAGAAAAAAAAAGGAAAGUUAAAAGAAACAUAAAAGUAAAAAAAUUAAAUUCCUCAAAAUAAAAAAAUAUGGGGAUCAAUUGUAUAAUUUAAUUAUUUGAAAUGAUGAUUUAACGUGCCACAUCAGCUUACCGUUAAUGACAAUUAACGGCCCAGUGACUAAAAUGUUACAACACUUUAACAUAAGUGACUAAAAUGUAACAAUUCAAACAUAAGUGGCUGAAAUAUAAUAAUUGAAACAUAAGUAACUAUUUUAACAAUUUAUCCUAUUUUAUAUUAUAUGAAAUAACAUUAUAAAGGCUAUUUAUAUUAAAAUAUUAAUUAAUAAAAUCAGUUCAACCAACGAAUUUAGGCAAUAAAUAACUAAUAUUUAGUAGAAAAGGGUAGCACCUCAAAGACAAAGCCAGUGAGUACUUUUUUUUUUAAUCGAAAGCUCCCUUCCAUAUAUUUUUUGAUUUUUUUUAAUUUCUUCGUAGUUAAAUCAUUAAUGGUUUGUUGAUUGAGUCUUAACUCAAUUGAUAUAGAUAUUAUUGUUAAUGUAGGAGGACGUGAGUUCGAGUGCGCUAAAGUGUACUAUCCUCAUGUUUAUAGAUUGAAGAGAGACUAGAGCAGAUAUAAUGAAAACUUAUAAUAAGAUUAUUCAGAAAAUCAAUUUCACAAUUGAGUAGGAGAUUGAAUAUUAUAAAAAGAGUAAAUAAAUAAUAAUAAUUUUAUAGAAAAUAUCUUCAAAUCCCAACAAGAAGAAUAUAUAUAAUAUUUGGUUUGGUCAAUCACGAAAAGAACUUAGAUUUUAACAAAAUAUAUUAAUUUUUAAAAAAGAAAAAAACCAAACUUUUUGUAGAAUAUAAUUUUUUUUUAAAAGGAAAGAAUAUUUAAAGAAAAACAAUUGUCAUAAUAGAAUUACUCUUUAAAUUGAAUCGUAUAUGACUAUGAGAUCUUUGGUCGGUUUUAAGAGGUCUCGAACAAUUUAGAAGUAGAAAUCAAAUCUUUUGUUACUUACAAUGUUUAUAUGUUUAGUUGACUUUGAAUGAUUACAAAAAUUCAUUCAUUAACUUUUAUCUCAUCAAGUGUUUUUUUAGAGAGAUGAUCAUGCAUUGUAAUACAUUGAAGGAAACAUAUGGAUUUUACCGUGGUUAAAGUAAGUUGUUGACACCGUUUUUUUUUUGUAAAACGGGGUCGACUUGAAUUUUGAAAAUGAAAACAAAAAUGAAGUUGCUACCAAUCCUUUUUUAUGAGCUGUGAUCGGAUCACCUCGAAAAGUGGUUGUUUUUAAUAAAUGAUUUGGUUUUAUUAAAAUAACGAUUUUGGUCCACGAAAUUCAAAAAAAUAGGUUCGGGAUUCGGUUACAUACGAGGAAGUAUUAGCACCCUCGUAACGCCCAAAUUUGGUAUCAAAUUGAUUAAUUAGCGCUUUAGUGUCGAAGAUUGAAAACUUUGAAGAGUUUUAAAAAAUACGAUCCUAAAAAUUUUUUCGAAUAAUAUGAGUUGAAAUUUAGGAUCUUCUUGUUUCGAAAGAAUAUCACAUCCAGCACGUUAAGAUACGAUACUUUAAACCCUCGAAACCAAGAUUACCUUAUGGUUCCCAAAACCCAUAAUUUGAAAUUUUAAAAGGAUAUUUGACUAUUUGGCCAAACGAGAAAUUGAAACCCAGCACGUUAGGGCACGUUUUCUCGAAUUUUCAAACGCAAAAUAUUGCCUUAUUUAGAAAAAUUUUCCUUUUUGAGGUAUGGUGUUAACAUGCAUAAUGAAAUAAUAAAUACGAUAAUGUAAAUAAAAAUAAUACGAGCAAAAACAAAAAUAAAUAAAAAAUAAUGAUAAAAAAAGACAAACCAAUUAUAUAUAAUAAUAAAUAAACAAAUAAAAAUUAAACAUUUUAAAAUAAUAAUAAUGGACACAUAAAUGAAUAAAUAAAGAAAUAUUAAGUAAAACAAUGAUAAGAAUAAAGAAAAUGAAUAAAAUUAUAAACAUAUAAGAAUGCAUAUAUGUAUAUAUGUACAUAACAAAGUUUGAAAUAAAAAAGAUAUAAACAAGCAAGUAAUAAUUUCAAUAUAUAAUAAGACCAAUAUAUUUGAAGUUUAAAUAAGUAAACAUAAAUGAUAAUAUAAUAACAAUUACAAAUGAUAAUAAUAAUCAUAAUAAUAUCUAAUUUUCUAAUAUUAUUAAUAAAAUAACUAAAAUAAUAGAACAAACAGGCUAAAUCCAAUUUUAAAACAAAAUUCGGGGUUUAAAACACAAAUAAACAAAAAAGGGUCCCCAAAGACCUAAAUAUAAUGUGCACAAAGAACAGAGGGCUGACUUGGAAAAUAUCCCAAGCCCUAUGCGCAGCGUUUUAGAGCAGACUAAAAUGAAAUGCGCGGAAAAUAACGCGACCAAAUAAAAAAGUAAAAAUGGGACCAGAUUGCACUAAGGCGCAAAAGAUGAGGGACCUCGCGCGCAAAUAUCCCCUUCACCGCAGAAACACGUGGAUCCUAAGGGUGGACGGGUCGGGUUGCGGGUCAGGGCCAAAACGACGUCGUUUUGGCACCUGACCCCUAGUUGCAAAACGACACCGUUUUAUUUAGGCUAUUUAAGCAAAAAAAAAAUCAUUUCAGCUACCACUUAAAAAAAAUCAAAGAAAACCCUUCCCCCUUUUCUCUUCCCCAAAUCCGGCCAAGGUUUCCGGUCGUAGCGCCGCCGUAGCCGGUGGCCGGCGUUGCGCAAAAGGGGCGAUUCAACCCUAGUUUUCGGCGCGCACAAAGGCGAAGCCCUUUUAAACCGAUGGGCCGCCAGAAAGGGGUGAUUUGAAACUUCUUCCGAGCUCGAAUCCGACGCCGACAAGGGGUCUCCGACAGUGCAAACAGAUUCAGGUACCUUCUCUUUUCUUUUUUUUCUAUUCGUUUUUUGUUUAUAAAAAUAAGGAAGAAAAACAA
Molecule: long non-coding RNA, 54778 nt
Filed under: Gossypium barbadense (sea-island cotton)
Lineage: Eukaryota; Viridiplantae; Streptophyta; Magnoliopsida; Malvales; Malvaceae
Source: RNAcentral